Molecule: long non-coding RNA, 52624 nt
Filed under: Triticum aestivum (bread wheat)
Lineage: Eukaryota; Viridiplantae; Streptophyta; Magnoliopsida; Poales; Poaceae
Description: long non-coding RNA (TAES_LNC019910)
Source: RNAcentral
UUUUUUUUUGUAUAUGUACACAUAAGAGAAGGUUGUCGCUCGCUGAAGCGCCUAGUACUUGCGUGAGAAGAUGGGCCGGCCCAAUGCACGGGUGGCAACUGCCUCGUUGUUUUCUUCUGUUUUUCACGUUUUUAUUUCGUUUUUACAUUUUUUUACACUUUCAAAUAUUAUAAAAAUAUAUAUAUUGAAAUAAAUAUUUUAAGUAUUUUUUGGAAAAUGUUAACCAUGUAUUUGGAAAAUAUUAAAUGUGUAUAGAAAAUUAUUGACCAUGUAUACAAAAAAUAUACAAUCUGUGUGAAAAAUUUGAUCACGUAUUGAAAACAAUGUUAAUCAAGCUUUUGAAAAAAAUGUUAAACUUGUAUUUGAAAAAUGAUAAAUUUAUAUAGAAAAAAUGUUGACCAUGUAUUAAAAAAUGUUGAACUUGUAUUAAAAAAUGUGUAUAGAAAAAGUGUUGAACUUGUAUUUAAAAAUAUUAAAUGUGCAUAUAAAAAUGUUGAACUUGUAUUUGAAAACUCUUAAAUGUGUAUAGUAAAAAUGUUGAGCAUGUAUUAAAAAUGUUAAAAUUGUAUUUGAAAAUUGCUAAAUAUGUAUAAAAAUGUUGAAAGUGUAUUUAAAAAUGUUGAACUUGUAGUUGAAUUUUUUUAAUGUGUGUAGAAAAAAUGCUCAUCAUGUACUAAAAAAUGUUAAACUUGUACUUGAAAAAUGUUAAAAUGUGAAUAUAAAAAAUGUUGGCAAUGUAUUAAUAAAAUGUAAAACUUGUAUUUGAAAUAUGUUAAUCAAGCAUUUGAAAAAAAAUGUUAAAUAUGUCUCGAAAAAGUGUUGACCAUGCAUUAAAAAAAUGCUAUUGUGGUAUUUGAAAAAGGUUAAUCAAGAAUUUAUAAAACAAUAAACAUGUAUUAGAAAAUUUUAUUAGUUAUAUACCAAAAAUAUGUAUAGGAAAAAGGGAAACCCAAGAGAAAACAAAGAAAACCGAUGAUAAACAAUAAAAUAACAAACAAACCUAAAGAAACAAGGAAAAAUCCAAUGAAAACCAACAAAGAAAUAAAGAUAACAGAUGAAAAAGGAAAGAAAAUAAAAAUUCUGUGAAAACUGAGAAAAGAAAUGAAGAAAAACUGGCGAAAAAAUAAAACAAAAAAAGCAUGGAAAAGCCAAUGGAAUGCCGCCUUGUUUCUUGUCAAGUAGGUCGGACCCUCCAAUUUAUCACCAACUGCAUGCCAACUGAGAGUAAUGUAGGGACUAAAAGGAAUUUCAGCACUAAAUUUUUAGCUAACUUCAUCUGGAUUCGGCUUCUUUAAGAGUGUAUCAUAAUAUAUCGAACAGUGGAACCAUGCAUGUUAUUUAUAACAUGCGUUGUAGAAAAUGUUUCGCAUCGUCUAUGCUAAUAUGAAAAAGAGCAAAAUACACUGGUCCUAAAUCUUUCGAUAUGACUAUCUGGGUCCUAAAAGAAAGCAAUGUGUCUCAUCGUUGGUCCUAAACUUGCUUGCGCCGCUCUAACCAACGUGGCACGAUCGAGCAAAUGUACUUUUGUGAAAAAGACCCAACCGUUGUGAUCAUUUCCAUUCCCGCUCCUUUCCUUUCCUUUCCUUUCUUCUGUGUUGUGGCCGCUAGGCGACGGCAGUGAUAGUUUCUAUGCGGCGUCUGGAUGAUGGCAGAAAUGGCAAACGAUGUGAUUGGAAUCGAGCAUGUCCGCCCGAUUAAGCAGGAACAAGGUAAGCCCCCGACCAUCUCCAACACUUGUGGAAAAGAUGGUGAUUCAAUCAUGCAAACGUCAUCUAGGUCUAGAUCACCACGAAGUUCAGAAUGGUUCACAUACAGUUUUUAACAUCGGGCACCACUAAAGCCAUAGUUAAUGUGUCAGCUUCUUUGUCGAUAAUGCGCAACCCAGUAUCUGGACUCUUGUCAUAAAGCAUCCAAUAAGCUUGAGCAGCAACAUUAUGACCAAGUGAAAGUGCAACUAUCCCUAGGUGGUUUUGGUAAUUCAUAACAACAUAUAGCUCAUUGAGCUAAUGCUAUUCCAAGAUGACUAUUUCAGGAAAGCCCAAUGAUUGGCAUGGCAUGGAUGUGAAAGUGGAACCCUCAAAAUGCUAAGGACAAAGGAUUGGCUCAAGCUCAAAAGCUCAAGACUCUUCAUUUUAUAUUUUAGUGAUCCAAGAUCACAUUGAGUCUUUAGGAAAAGUCAAUACUAUCAAGGAGGGAUGAGGUGUUGCUUAAUGAGCCUCUUGCUUCAUGUGCUUAGUGAUAUGCUCCAAAACCCUCAACUACUUUCCCAUAUCCACAUAUGACCUAAACCCUAAGCCAAACUCGGUCCUACCGAUUCUUUCUAUCCCGCGCCACCAGUUUCACUUGUCAUAAGCCACUGCCAAACCCUAGCAAUUCGGUUCUACCGAUAGGGAUCUCGGUCUCACCGAGAUGGGAUUGCAAACUCUCUGUUUCCCUUUCGUAACUUUUCGGUCUCACCGAAAGAGCGGAUCGGUCCCACCGAGAUUGCAAUGUAAAUUCAGUGUUUCCUUUUUGUAACUUUUCAGUCUCACCGAAAGAGCAAAUCGGUCCCACCGAGUUUGCCUGACCAACUCUCUGGUUAGCUAAUUACCAAAAUCGGUCUCACCGAGUUUGUGUAAUCGGUCUCACCGAGAUUACGUUAUGCCCAAACCCUAACCAUAUCGGUCCUACCAAGUUGCAUGUCAGUCCCACCGAAACUCUCUAACGGUCACUAGGUUUACCUUUUCGGUCCGACCGAGUUUGUUGAUUCGGUCCCACCGAGAUUGGAAAACUAUGUGUAACGGUUGGAUUUGUUGUGGAGGCUAUAUAUACCCCUCCACCUCCUCUUCAUUCGUGGAGAGAGCCAUCAGAACACAUACACAAUUCCAACUCAUAUGUUCUGAGAGAGAACCACCUACUCAUGUGUUGAGACCAAGAUAUUCCAUUCCUACCAUAUGAAUCUUGAUCUCUAGCCUUCCCCAAGUUGCUUUCCACUCAAAUAUUCUUUCCACAAAAUCCAAAUCCUAUGAGAGAGAGAGUUGAGUGUUGGGGAGACUAUCAUUUGAAGCACAAGAGCAAGGAGUUCAUUACCUACACACCAUUUGUUACUUCUUGGAGAGUGGUGUCUCCUAGAUUGGCUAGGUGUUACUUGGGAGCCUCCGACAAGAUUGUGGAGUUGAACCAAGGAGUUUGUAAGGGCAAGGAGAUCGCCUACUUCAUGAAGAUCUACCGCUAGUGAGGCAAGUCCUUCGUGGGCGAUGGCCAUGGUGGGAUAGAAAAGGUUGCUACUUCGUGGACCCUUUGUGGGUGGUUGCUUCUUCGUGGACCCUUCGUGGGUGGAGCCCUCUGUGGACUCGCGCAACCCUUACCCUUUGUGGGUUGAAGUCUCCAUCAACGUGGAUGUAGGAUAGCACCACCUAUCCGAACCACGGGAAAAACAUCCGUAUCUCCAAUUGCGUUUGAAUUCUCCAAACCCUUCCCUUUACAUUCUUGCAAGUUGCAUGCUUUACUUUCCGCUGCCAAUAUACUCUUUGCAUGCUUGCUUGAAUUGUGUGAUGAUUACUUGACUUGUCCUACAAUAGCUAAAAUCUGCCAAGAACUAAAAUUGGGAAAAGGUUAAGUUUUUAUUUGGUCAAGUAGUCUAAUCACCCCCCCCCUCUAGACAUACUUUCGAUCCUACAAGUGGUAUCAGAGCUUUGGUCUCCAUUUGCUUUGAUCUCCAUAGCUUUUGAUGGUCAUAGCCUUGGUUUCACAACCUAGGAGAGUAUGGCGUCUAGCGAGGGAAAUUAUCACCGUAGAGGUCCUUACUUUGAUGGUACUAAUUUUGCUAGUUGGAAGCAUAAAAUGAAAAUGCAUAUUCUUGGACAUAACCCCGCCGUUUGGGCUAUUGUGUGUGUUGGUUUGCAAGGUGACUUCUUUGAUGGGAAAGAACCAAACCGUGAAGCUACCGCGGAUGAGUUGAAGAUGUUGCAAUACAAUGCUCAAGCUUGUGAUAUUCUCUUCAACGGAUUGUGCCCCGAAGAAUUCAACAAAAUCAGCCGUCUUGAGAAUGCAAAGGAAAUUUGGGACACUUUGAUUGAUAUGCAUGAAGGUACCGACUCCGUCAAGGAAUCCAAGUUGGAUGUGCUUCAAAGUCAACUUGACAAGUUCAAAAUGAAGGAUGGUGAAGGUGUCGCUGAAAUGUACUCUAGGCUUGCUCUCAUCACAAAUGAGAUUGCCGGCUUAGGAAGUGAAGAGAUGACCGAUAGAUUCAUCAUCAAGAAGAUUCUAAGAGCCUUGGAUGGAAAAUAUGAUACCGUGUGCACAUUGAUCCAAAUGAUGCCCAAUUACAAAGAUCUCAAGCCAACGGAGGUGAUUGGAAGAAUUGUUGCUCAUGAGAUGUCACUUAAGGAUAAAGAGGAACUUCACAACAAAUCAAGUGGUGCCUACAAAGCCUCAUGUGAAGCUCCUACAUCAUCAAGUGAGAAACAAAACUUCAAUGAAGAAUUGAGCUUAAUGGUGAAGAACUUCAACAAGUUCUACAAGAGUAGAAGUAAAGAUAGAAGCUUCAAGUUAAGGUCCUACAAUGACAAAAGAUCUUCUAGUCGAGAGCGAAACUGCUACAGCUGUGGAAGACCCGGACACUAUUCCAAUGAGUGUACGGCUCCCUACAAGAGAAGAGAAGAUUCUCCAAAAAGAAGAAGCAAAGAAUCACCACCAAGAGAGAGAAGGAGUAGAGAUGAUCGUUAUGAAUGAAGAUACUCACGGAGAAGCAAGGAUUCGGAAAGGAAGGAAAAAUCAUCAAGGAGCUACACAAAACGAAGACAUCAAGCUCAUGUUGGUGAAUGGGUAUCCGGCUCCGACUCCGACAGCCACUCUGAGAGAAGUUAUCACUCCGACUCCGAAGAUACUCAAGAUGAAGGUGUUGCCGGUCUAGCACUUGUGUCAACCAACUCCUACGACAUAUUUGACUCACCAAAUGAAGGAAUUGGAAGAUGCUUCAUGGCCAAAGGUCCUAAGGUAACACACCCCGAGUAUGUUGAUUUCAAUAGUGAUGAAGAUGACUUGUUAGGUGAUGAUUUGCUUGUUGACAACUCUAGUGAUGAAUACUAUGAUGAAACGUCAAUUAAUCAUGCUAAUCAAGAUAAAACGAAUGACAAUGAUAAGGAGAAGAUUGAGGCUCUAACUAAAGAACUAAACACUCUUAAGUUAGCUCAUGAAACUAUCUUCGAAGAUCAUCGAGAACUUUUAAGAGCUCAUGAGAAAUUACGCUUUGAAAAGCUCAAUCUUGAGCAAGAGCAUGAGUUCUUAAAAGCAAUCAAUGAUGAUCUCCGCAAGAAAAGUUCUUCUUACAUUGCCAAGCAUUUACUCUUAUCCAUUCACAUGCCUCAAGUCAAGUCUAGUAACAAGAACAAGAAAGAUUCUUCCUCUAGCAGUAACAAUGAUCAUGCUAAAUCCAAAAUUGUUGCUUCUAGUAGUUCUCUUGAUUCCACUAAUGAUUCUCUUAGCCAAUUUACACUUGAGCAAGAAAAUAGCUUAUUGAAGGGAAUUAUAGAGAAAGGAGUGUACAAAAGCCUUGCCGGGAGUAAGCAAUUCGAGGAAAUUGUGCGCAAGCAAGGAAUGCACCGGAAGAAUCAAGGUGUUGGUUUUGAACGAAAGUUCAAUGCCAAUGGAGUUGAGUCGGAAGAAGAUCAAUACCCCAAGACAAAGUUUGUUCCUCAACAAGAGAAGUAUGAUACUUCUUUCAAGGGGACACAAGCUCAAGAUGAUCUUCCACCACAAGACUACAAGCAAAAAGGCAAGGACAAGCUUCAAGAGGAAAUUGAUGCAUUUGAAGAAGCUCCUAAGACCUUAGUCAAGUGGAUUCCCAAGACUACUUCAAGUUCCACUUCAUCAAGUACGACUACAACUCCAAGGAUUCCCAUCAAGAUGGUGUGGAUCCAAAAGAAGAAGAACUAGAGAGUUCUUGAGGGUGACUCCGCCAACAUACUUCACUCUUAUCAUUUUGGCAAGAACAAGUGCAAUCAACUUCCACAUCUUGCACUAGUUCAAGGAGUCACAAACCCUCUUGUUGGUAAGACAAGGGACAAGGUAACCUAAAAGUUUUCAUGGACAUCAUCUUGUGUGUGCAUCACUCUAUGUCUAUGGAUAUCCUUGUUUGUUCCUUGUGGGACUAACCCAUGUAGGUAUUGAAAGUGCAAUUCACUCAAAUGGAUAGCUCCAAGUGAUCUACAUCAACAUUGAGCAUCCACAUCUUCAACAUCUACAUGAAGUCAUCAUCGACAAAACCCGAGGUUAGUUCAUCCCUCUAAGGGGGGAUAUCACAUCUAGGGGGAGCCUUACUCUAAGACUUGAGCUAAAGCAACUCUAAAGAUGUGAACACAACAAUGCUUUAUGUAAAAGUGGUAACCCCACUUGAGCUUAAACGAUGAGUAUGACCUAUGAUCAAGUGUUCUCACUUGACUCCUAAGUCAAUAUACUCAUAUAUAGAUGACCUUGUCAUCGCAAAUUGCUUGAUAGAUGCUAGAAUUGGUUGUGCAUGCCUUGUCACAUAUUUCAUUUGCCAUCUUAUUGUGUGAGCAUGCUGGUUGCAUAUUUUACUCAUUCGAGGACAUCCACUUGUUGUUUUGAUUGUUUGGUUUUAUUUCCUUGUGCCAAGUGGAUGGACAAGAAUGCCUAAGAACCUCCUCUAGCUAUCUAUGCUUUUCUCGUCUCAAACUCUAUUCAUGCUACAUCACAAAAUUUGAUCAAGUCAGAUUCGAACCACUCUGUGUGAGGAGCGCUCGGAGUCCCCGAUUCGUCAUAGACUUAAACUUCCAAAACCUCUUUAUGAUUCUCGGUCUGACCGAUACCCUACUUACGGUCCUACCGAGAUCAUUAAGUUGAUCUAGGUUUUCGAUCUCGGUGCAACCGAUUUGAACUUUCGGUCACACCGAGUUUCAGUAACUGCUUGCAGUUAUGAAUCUCGGUGCCACCGAGUUGUUCCACUCGGUCACACCGACAGGGUCGGGCUAUAUAUAGUCACGGGCAAAAAUUUGGAAAUUUCUCCGAACCCCUUCGCCCGCGCAAUAGCCUGCUCUGCCAACUUGGUCUCUGGAUCGUCUCCUCGCCGCCAGCCGCCUCCAGUCGCUGGUCUCCAUCGCCAUCAACGGAAUUCAACCCUGCCAUUGCCGCCGUAGCGAGUCUCCGCCGAACUAGGGUAUGGACUCGAUCACAGUGCUAUUCCCCGUCCGAUUCCUAGCACAUUGUGUUCUUAAUGAUUCUUGCCAUGAUUGAAACACUCCUAUCCAGUCAAUGCGUUCAUAGAUUAGUUUUGAUUCGAAAUUUUUAGGGUUAGGUUUCCGCCGAAACCAUCUUGGACCCACCAAGUUGAAAAACUCGGUCCCACCGAUUUGGCUUAUGCCAUUGCACAAGUGAGACUCGGUCUGACCGAGAAUUACUAAUCGGUGUGACCGAUUUUGGAACUUUGUGAAACCCUAGCAGUCUCGGUGCCAUCGAACUGUGACUCGGUCCAACCGAGUUUACUAGUUUAGGUUCCAAAAACUGCUUCGGUAUCACCGAGUUUAAAAAUCGGUAGAUCCGAGAUGAUUUCAGUGGGAAACUAAAACUAAGAUUUUGAGUCAUUCUUUUGCAAAAAUCUCUGCAUUUUGUGAUGCUCAUCCACUCUACCUCAUCUAUAAACUGUUCACAGGGUCAGCAGUCAGCUUGUUCAUCAUGUCAGACCAGAGUGACAACCAGAAUGUGUCAGAACAGCAAGUGCACAUGAGUGAGGGCACUAGUCCCUCAAGUUCUUCAGAUGAUGGCAGCAGAAGUACUCCUAGCAAUUUGCCAAAAGCUUCCACCAGACAAAGGAAGAAGAGAACUUCAGACUCUAAGGAUGAGGACUAUGUGGCAGAAGAGGAAGCAACUUCCAAGAGAGUUGAGCCAGCACAGGGCACAAAGCCAGGGUUAAAGAUCAAAAGGCCAGCAGGCAGGCAUCCUAUGACAAAGGCCAGAGCUUCAACCAAGAUUUCUGAGAAGCCCACUCCCAUAGAGCCAGUUGCUGCUGAAGGCAAGAAAAGAAAGGAAAGGGUGAAGAAAACCGUAGCCAGAGUGCUUGGCAAGGCUUCCAUUUGUUGGGGAACGUAGUAAUUUCAAAAUUUUCCUACGCACACGCAAGAUCAUGGUGAUGCACAGCAACGAGAGGGGAGAGUGUUGUCUACGUACCCAUGCAGACCGACUGCGGAAGCGAUCACACAACGUAGAGGAAGUAGUCGUACGUCUUCCCGAUCCGACCGAUCCAAGCACCGUUACUCCGGCACCUCCGAGUUCUUAGCACACGUACAACUCGAUGACGAUCCCCGGGCUCCGAUCUAGCAAAGCAUCGGGGAAGAGUUCCGUCAGCACGACGGCGUGAUGACGAUCUUGAUGUUCUACCGACGCAGGGCUUCGCCUAAGCACUACAACGAUAUGAUCGAGGUGGAAUAUGGUGGCAGGGGGCACCGCACACGGCUAAGGAACGAUCUCAAGGAUCAACUUGUGUGUCUAGAGGUGCCCCCUGCCUCCAUAUAUAAAGGAGCCAAGGGGGGGCGGCCAGGAGGAGGGCGCAGGAGGAGUCCUACUCCUCCCGGGAGUAGGACUCCCCCCUCCAAUCCUAGUUGGACUAGGAUUCCCCGAGGGGGAAAGAGAGAGAGGGGGGCCGGCCACCUCUCCUAGUCCUAAUAGGACUAGGGGAGGGGGGAGGCACGCGGCCACCUUGGGCUGCCCCUUUCUCCUUUCCACUAAGGCCCAUGAAGGCCCAUAUGGCUCCCGGGGGGUUCCGGUAACCUCCCGGUACUCCGGUAAAAUCCCGAUUUCACCCGGAACACUUCCGAUAUCCAAAUAUAGGCUUCCAAUAUAUCAAUCUUUAUGUCUCGACCAUUUCGAGACUCCUCGUCAUGUCCGUGAUCACAUCCGGGACUCCGAACAACCUUCGGUACAUCAAAAUGCAUAAACUCAUAAUAACUGUCAUCGUAACGUUAAGCGUGCGGACCCUACGGUUCGAGAACAAUGUAGACAUGACCGAGACACGUCUCCGGUCAAUAACCAAUAGCGGGACCUGGAUGCCCAUAUUGGCUCCUACAUAUUCUACGAAGAUCUUUAUUGGUCAGACCGCAUAACAACAUACGUUGUUCCCUUUGUCAUCGUAUGUUACUUGCCCGAGAUUCGAUCGUCGAUAUCCAAUACCUAGUUCAAUCUCAUUACCAGCAAGUCUCUUUACUCGUUCUGUAAUACAUCAUCCCGCAACUAACUCAUUAGUUGCAAUGCUUGCAAGGCUUAUGUGAUGUGCAUUACCGAGAGGGCCCAGAGAUACCUCUCCGACAAUCGGAGUGACAAAUCCUAAUCUCGAAAUACGCCAACCCAACAAGUACCUUUGGAGACACUUGUAAUGCUCCUUUAUAAUCACCCAAUUACGUUGUGACGUUUGGUAGCACCCAAAGUGUUCCUCCGGCAAACGGGAGUUGCAUAAUCUCAUAGUCAUAGGAACAUGUAUAAGUCAUGAAGAAAAGCAAUAGCAACAUACUAAACGAUCGGGUGCUAAGCUAAUGGAAUGGGUCAUGUCAAUCAGAUCAUUCAACUAAUGAUGUGACCUCGUUAAUCAAAUAACAACUCUUUGUUCAUGGUUAGGAAACAUAACCAUCUUUGAUUAACGAGCUAGUCAAGUAGAGGCAUACUAGUGACACUCUGUUUGUCUAUGUAUUCACACAUGUAUUAUGUUUCCGGUUAAUACAAUUCUAGCAUGAAUAAUAAACAUUUAUCAUGAUAUAAGGAAAUAAAUAAUAACUUUAUUAUUGCCUCUAGGGCAUAUUUCCUUCAGUCUCCCACUUGCACUAGAGUCAAUAAUCUAGAUUACACUGUAAUGAUUCUAACACCCAUGGAGUCUUGGUGCUGAUCAUGUUUUCCUCGUGGAAGAGGCUUAGUCAACGAGUCUGCAACAUUCAGAUCCGUAUGUAUCUUGCAAAUCUCUAUGUCUCCCACCUGGACUAGAUCCCGGAUGGAAUUGAAGCGUCUCUUGAUGUGCUUGGUCCUUUUGUGAAAUCUGGAUUCCUUUGCUAAGGCAAUUGCACCAGUAUUGUCACAAAAGAUUUUCAUUGGGCCCGAUGCACUAGGUAUGACACCUAGAUCGGAUAUGAACUCCUUCAUCCAGACUCCCUCGUUCGCUGCUUCCGAAGCAGCUAUGUACUCCACUUCACAUGUAGAUCCCGCUACGACGCUUUGUUUAGAACUGCACCAACUGACAGCUCCACCGUUUAAUGUAAACACGUAUCCGGUUUGCGAUUUAGAAUCGUCCGGAUCAGUGUCAAAGCUUACAUCAACGUAACCUUUUACGGUGAGCUCUUUGUCACCUCCAUAUACGAGAAACAUAUCCUUAGUCCUUUUUAGGUAUUUCAGGAUGUUCUUGACCGCUGUCCAGUGAUCCACUCCUGGAUUACUUUGGUACCUCCCUGCUAAACUUAUAGCAAGGCAUACAUCAGGUCUGGUACACAGCAUUGCAUACAUGAUAGAGCCUAUGGCUGAAGCAUAGGGAACAUCUUUCAUUUUCUCUCUAUCUUUUGCAGUGGUUGGGCAUUGAGUCUGACUCAACUUCACACCUUGUAACACAGGCAAGAACCCUUUCUUUGCUUGAUCCAUUUUGAAUUUCUUCAAAAUCUUGUCAAGGUAUGUGCUUUGUGAAAGUCCAAUUAAGCGUUUUGAUCUAUCUCUAUAGAUCUUUAUGCCUAAUAUGUAAGCAGCUUCACCGAGGUCUUUCAUUGAAAAACUCUUAUUCAAGUAUCCCUUUAUGCUAUCCAGAAAUUCUAUAUCAUUUCCAAUCAGCAAUAUGUCAUCCACAUAUAAUAUCAGAAAUGCUACAGAGCUCCCACUCACUUUCUUGUAAAUACAGGCUUCUCCGAAAGUCUGUAUAAAACCAAAUGCUUUGAUCACACUAUCAAAAUGUUUAUUCCAACUCCGAGAGGCUUGCACCAGUCCAUAAAUGGAUCGCUGGAGCUUGCACACUUUGUUAGCUCCCUUUGGAUCGACAAAGCCUUCCGGUUGCAUCAUAUACAACUCUUCUUCCAGAAAUCCAUUCAGGAAUGCAGUUUUGACAUCCAUCUGCCAAAUUUCAUAAUCAUAAAAUGUGGCAAUUGCUAACAUGAUUCGGACAGACUUAAGCAUCGCUACGGGUGAGAAGGUCUCAUCGUAGUCAACCCCUUGAACUUGUCGAAAACCUUUUGCGACAAGUCGAGCUUUGUAGAUAGUAACAUUACCAUCAGCGUCAGUCUUCUUCUUAAAAAUCCAUUUAUUCUCAAUUGCUUGCCGAUCAUCGGGCAAGUCAACCAAAGUCCAUACUUUGUUCUCAUACAUGGAUCCCAUCUCAGAUUUCAUGGCUUCAAGCCACUUUGCGGAAUCUGGGCUCACCAUCGCUUCUUCAUAGUUUGUAGGUUCAUCAUGAUCUAGUAGCAUGACUUCCAGAACAGGAUUAUCGUACCACUCUGGUGCGGAUCUCGCUUUGGUUGAUCUACGAGGUUCGGUAGUAUCUUGACCUGAAGUUUCAUGAUCAACAUCAUUAGCUUCCUCACUAAUUGGUAUAGAUGUCGCAGAAACAGUUUUCUGUGAUGUACUAUUUUCCAAUAAGGGAGCAGGUACAGUUACCUCAUCAAGUUCUACUUUCCUCCCACUCACUUCUUUCGAGAGAAACUCCUUCUCUAGAAAGGAUCCAUUCUUAGCAAUGAAUGUCUUGCCUUCGGAUCUGUGAUAGAAGGUGUACCCAACAGUCUCCUUUGGGUAUCCUAUGAAGACACAUUUCUCCGAUUUGGGUUCGAGCUUAUCAGGUUGAAGCUUUUUCACAUAAGCAUCGCAGCCCCAAACUUUAAGAAACGACAACUUUGGUUUCUUGCCAAACCAUAGUUCAUAAGGCGUCGUCUCAACGGAUUUUGAUGGUGCCCUAUUUAACGUGAAUGCGGCCGUCUCUAAAGCAUAACCCCAAAACGAUAGCGGUAAAUCAGUAAGAGACAUCAUAGAUUGCACCAUAUCUAGUAAAGUACGAUUACGACGUUCGGACACACCAUUACGCUGUGGUGUUCCGGGUGGCGUGUGUUGCGAAACUAUUCCACAAUUUUUCAAAUGUACACCAAACUCGUAACUCAAAUAUUCUCCUCCACGAUCAGAUCGUAGAAACUUUAUUUUCUUGUUACGAUGAUUUUCAACUUCACUCUGAAAUUCUUUGAACUUUUCAAAUGUUUCAGACUUAUGUUUCAUUAAGUAGAUAUAUCCAUAUCUGCUUAAGUCAUCUGUGAAGGUGAGAAAAUAACGAUAUCCGCCUCGAGCCUCAAUAUUCAUCGGACCACAUACAUCGGUAUGUAUGAUUUCCAAUAAAUCUGUUGCUCUCUCCAUAGUACCGGAGAACGGUGUUUUAGUCAUCUUGCCCAUGAGGCACGGUUCGCAAGUACCAAGUGAUUCAUAAUCAAGUGGUUCCAAAAGUCCAUCAGUAUGGAGUUUCUUCAUGCGCUUUACACCGAUAUGACCUAAACGACAGUGCCACAAUUAAGUUGCACUUUCAUUAUCAACUCUGCAUCUUUUGGCUUCAACAUUAUGAAUAUGUGUAUCACUACUAUCGAGAUUCAUAAAAAAUAGAUCACUUUUCAAAGGUGCAUGACUAUAAAAGAUAUUACUCAUAUAAAUAGAACAACCAUUAUUCUCUGAUUUAAAUGAAUAACCAUCUCGCAUCAAACAAGAUCCAGAUAUAAUGUUCAUGCUCAACGCUGGCACCAAAUAACAAUUAUUUAGGUCUAAUAUUAAUCCCGAAGGUAGAUGUAGAGGUAGCGUGCCGACCGCGAUCACAUCGACUUUGGAACCGUUUCCUACGCGCAUCGUCACCUCGUCCUUUGCCAGUGCUCGCUUAUUCCGUAGUCCCUGUUUCGAGUUGCAAAUAUUAGCAACAGAACCAGUAUCAAAUACUCAGGUGCUACUGCGAGCUCUAGUAAGGUACACAUCAAUAACAUGUAUAUCACAUAUACCUUUGUUCACCUUGCCAUCCUUCUUAUCCGCCAAAUACUUGGGGCAGUUCCGCUUCCAGUGACCAGUCUGCUUGCAGUAGAAGCACUCAGUUUCAGGCUUAGGUCCAGACUUGGGUUUCUUCUCCUGAGCAGCAACUUGCUUGCUGUUCUUCUUGAAGUUCCCCUUCUUCUUCCCUUUGCCCUUUUUCUUGAAACUAGUGGUCUUGUUAACCAUCAACACUUGAUGCUUCUUCUUGAUUUCUACCUCCGCAGCUUUCAGCAUUGCGAAGAGCUCGGGAAUAGUCUUGUUCAUCCCUUGCAUAUUAUAGUUCAUCACGAAGCUCUUGUAGCUUGGUGGCAGUGAUUGGAGAAUUCUGUCAAUGACGCAAUCAUCUGGAAGAUUAACUCCCAUCUGAAUCAAGUGAUUAUUAUACCCAGACAUUUUGAGUAUAUGCUCACUGACAGAACUGUUCUCCUCCAUCUUGCAGCUAUAGAACUUAUUGGAGACUUCAUAUCUCUCAAUCCGGGCAUUUGCUUGAAAUAUUAACUUCAACUCCUGGAACAUCUCAUAUGCUCCAUGACGUUCAAAACGUCGUUGAAGUCCCGAUUCUAAGCCGUAAAGCAUGGCACACUGAACUAUCGAGUAGUCAUCAGCUUUGCUCUGCCAGACGUUCACAACAUCUGGUGUUGCUCCAGCAGCAGGCCUGGCACCCAGCGGUGCUUCCAGGACGUAAUUCUUCUGAGCAGCAAUGAGGAUAAUCCUCAAGUUACGGACCCAGUGCGUGUAAUUGCUACCAUCAUCUUUCAACUUUGCUUUCUCAGGGGACACAUUAAAAUUUAACGGAACAACAGCACGAGCCAUCUAUCUACAAUCAACAUAAACAAGCAAGAUACUAUCAGGUACUAAGUUCAUGAUAAGUUUAAGUUCAAUUAAUCAAAUUACUUAACAACUCCCACUUAGAUAGACAUCCCUCAAAUCCUCUAAGUGAUCACGUGAUCCAAAUCAACUAAACCAUAACCGAUCAUCACGUGAGAUGGAGUAGUUUUCAAUGGUGAACAUCGUUAUGUUGAUCAUAUCUACUAUAUGAUUCACACUCGACCUUUCGGUCUCCGUGUUCCGAGGCCAUAUCUGCAUAUGCUAGGCUCGUCAAGUUUAACCUGAGUAUUCUGCAUGUGCAAAACUGGUUUGCACCCGUUGUAGAUGGACGUAGAGCUUAUCACACCCGAUCAUCACGUGGUGUCUGGGCACGACGAACUUUGGCAACGGUGCAUACUCAGGGAGAACACUUCUUGAUAAUUUAGUGAGAGAUCAUCUUAUAAUGCUACCGUCAAUCAAAGCAAGAUAAGAUGCAUAAAAGGAUAAACAUCACAUGCAAUCAAUAUAAGUGAUAUGAUAUGGCCAUCAUUAUCUUGUGCUUGUGAUCUCCAUCUCCGAAGCACCGUCAUGAUCACCAUCGUCACCGGCGCGACACCUUGAUCUCCAUCGUAGCAUCGUUGUCGUCUCGCCAAUCUUAUGCUUCCACGACUAUCACUACCGUUUAGUAAUAAAGUAAAGCAUUACAUCGCGAUUGCAUUGCAUACAAUAAAGCGACAACCAUAUGGCUCCUGCCAGUUGCCGAUAACUCGGUUACAAAACAUGAUCAUCUCAUACAAUAAAAUUCAGCAUCAUGCCUUGACCAUAUCACAUCACAACAUGCCCUGCAAAAACAAGUUAGACGUCCUCUACUUUGUUGUUGCAAGUUUUACGUGGCUGCUACGGGCUUAAGCAAGAACCAAUCUCACCUACGCAUCAAAACCACAACGAUAGUUUGUCAAAUAGACUCCGUUUUAACCUUCUCAAGGACCGGGCGUAGCCACACUCGGUUCAACUAAAGUUGGAGAGACAGUCGCCCGCAAGCCAUCUAUGUGCAAAGCACGUCGAGGGAACCGGUCUCGCGUAAGCGUACGCGUAAUGUUGGUCCGGGUCGUCUCGUCCAACAAUACCGCCGAACCAAAGUAUGACAUGCUGGUAGGCAGUAUGACUUAUAUCGCCCACAACUCACUUGUGUUCUACUCGUGCAUAUAACAUCAAACCAUAAAACCUAGGCUCGGAUGCCAUUGUUGGGUAACGCAGUAAUUUCAAAAUUUUCCUACGCACACGCAAGAUCAUGGUAAUGCACAACAACGAGAGGGGAGAGUGUUGUCUACGUACCCACGCAGACCGACUGCGGAAGCGAUCACACAACGUAGAGGAAGUAGUCGUAUGUCUUCCCGAUCCGACCGAUCCAAGCACCGUUACUCCGGCACCUCCGAGUUCUUAGCACACGUAUAGCUCGAUGAUGAUCCCCGGGCUCCGAUCCAGCAAAGCGUCGGGGAAGAGUUCCGUCAGCACGACGGCGUGAUGACGAUCUUGAUGUUCUACCGAUGCAGGGCUUCGCCUAAGCACUACAACGAUAUGAUCGAGGUGGAAUAUGGUGGCAGGGGGCACCGCACACGGCUAAGGAACGAUCUCAAGGAUCAACUUGUGUGUCUAGAGGUGCCCCCUGCCUCCGUAUAUAAAGGAGCCAGGGGGGCGCCGGCUGGGAGGAGGGCGCAGGAGGAGUCCUACUCUUCCCGGGAGUAGGACUCCCCCCUCCAAUCCUAGUUGGACUAGGAUUCCCCGAGGGGGAAAGAGAGAGAGGGGGGCCGGCCACCUCUCCUAGUCCUAAUAGGACUAGGGGAGGGGAGAGGCGCGCGGACACCUUGGGCUGCCCCUUUCUCCUUUCCACUAAGGCCCAUGAAGGCCCAUAUGGCUCCCGGGGGUUCCGGUAACCUCCCGGUACUCCGGUAAAAUCCCGAUUUCACCCGGAACACUUCCGAUAUCCAAAUAUAGGCUUCCAAUAUAUCAAUCUUUAUGUCUCGACCAUUUCGAGACUCCUCGUCAUGUCCGUGAUCACAUCCGGGACUCCGAACAACCUUCGGUACAUCAAAAUGCAUAAACUCAUAAUAACUGUCAUCGUAACGUUAAGCGUGCGGACCCUACGGUUCGAGAACAAUGUAGACAUGACCGAGACACGUCUCCGGUCAAUAACCAAUAACAGGACCUGGAUGCCCAUAUUGGCUCCUACAUAUUCUACGAAGAUCUUUAUCGGUCAGACCGCAUAACAACAUACGUUGUUCCCUUUGUCAUCGGUAUGUUACUUGCCCGAGAUUCGAUCGUCGGUAUCCAAUACCUAGUUCAAUCUCAUUACCGGCAAGUCUCUUUACUCGUUCUGUAAUACAUCAUCCCGCAACUAACUCGUAGUUGCAAUGCUUGCAAGGCUUAUGUGAUGUGCAUUACCGAGAGGGCCCAGAGAUACUCUCCGACAAUCGGAGUGACAAAUCCUAAUCUCGAAAUACGCCAACCCAACAUGUACCUUUGGAGACACCUGUAAUGCUCCUUUAUAAUCACCCAGUUACGUUGUGACGUUUGGUAGCACCCAAAGUGUUCCUCCGGAAAACGGGAGUUGCAUAAUCUCAUAGUCAUAGGAACAUGUAUAAGUCAUGAAGAAAAGCAAUAGCAACAUACUAAACGAUCGGGUGCUAAGCUAAUGGAAUGGGUCAUGUCAAUCAGAUCAUUCAACUAAUGAUAGUGACCUCGUUAAUCAAAUAACAACUCUUUGUUCAUGGUUAGGAAACAUAACCAUCUUUGAUUAACGAGCUAGUCAAGUAGAGGCAUACUAGUGACACUCUGUUUGUCUAUGUAUUCACACAUGUAUUAUGUUUCCGGUUAAUACAAUUCUAGCAUGAAUAAUAAACAUUUAUCAUGAUAUAAGGAAAUAAAUAAUAACUUUAUUAUUGCCUCUAGGGCAUAUUUCCUUCACCAUCAUGGAAGAUGAGGAGGAAGAAGAAGAGGUUGCUGCACCAGCACCUAAGGCACCUAAAAUUAUGGGUGAUGCUAUAAGAUCAGGGGCUGCCACAUCUAAGCCCAAAGAAGCACCCAAAGCUGCCUCCAAGCCCAAGUCUGCACCAAAGAGAAAUACAAGGAGCAUACCUGCAACUGAGAAGAACAAGGCCCCAGUGCCUGAGACUGUUGUUGAAGAAGAUGAUGAAGAACAAGUUCUCAGAAAACUCAAGCCCAAGAUCCCAUACCACAAUGAUGCUCAUCCUGUGGCUGAGGAUAUGAAGCUCAGGAGAGACUUGGGGCUGAGGAAGUGGAGAGAAGCAGAUCCGUAUGCUUCAAGAAGGAGGACUGUUGUUGACUACAGGUUCCACACUAAGGAAUAGCAGGACUUCUAUGAGACAGCCUUAUUGGAUAAGAAGCCCAUUGUUUGUGACAUGAGAUGGGUCGACUGGACCUACAUGAAGGAAAAUGAGGAACACUAUCCUGGUGUGAUUGACAGCUUUAGUGCUUGUGGAGUAUUAGACUUUGUUGGGCAGAAGCUCACAAAGUGGAAUGAGGAGCUUAUUAUGCAAUUCUAGUCCACAGCACAUUUCUACCCAGAUGAAAAGAUCACAUGGAUGUCUGAAGGUACGAGGUACCAAUCUACUGUUGCUGAGUGGGCACAGCUCAUCAAUGCCCCAGAGGAGCAUGAGGAUGACUUGGAUAUCUAUGCCAAGAAGAAGAUGGACCACAACUCUAUGUCCAAUAUGUACAAGGAAAUUCCAAAUGAAGCUCUUGAAACUUUCAAAUUUGGCUCGGUGCAUUAUCUUCUGUCGGGGCUGCCAACUAUUAAUUGGAUUUUGAGGCACACUCUCUUGCCCAAGUCAGGUGAUCACAAGAUGAUCAGAGGCCAUGCAAUCAAUUUGCUUCAUGUAUUUGAUGUACCUCAGAAAUUCAAGGUCAUGAGCCUCAUAGUAGAGACUAUCAAGAGGACUAUAGCAGAUCAGAAGAGGAGCUGUGGUUAUGCCCCUCAGAUUCAGGAGCUCAUUAACUCCAAGAUGGGCACGAGCAUAUACUUGUUGGACAAGGAACACUUGCCCAUCCGUCCAGAUUUUGAAGAUAAUCAAGUUGUUAUGACUGAGAAUGAACCAUCGUCUGCACAAGCACAAGCCAAGAAGGAGAAGGCAAGGAAGGAGAAAGCUGCCAAGAUGCCAACUCAAGAGGAGGCAUCUGAGUAUUUCUUGAAAACCAAACAAGAGCAGCUUGGUUACUUGAUUGCAUCCAGCCUGCGGAUUGAGCAAGGACUAGCCACCCUAACUCAGAACCAGGCAAGCUUAGAGAGGAUCAUGGAACAAAAGUUCUAUGACUUGGAUGUCAAAGUGACAGAGACUCAGACUGCAGUGGAGCAGCUCCAGGAUGACAUGCAGGAGAGGAGAGGCAAGACUACAACUGAUGCCUUUGUCAGAGUGCCACGAGGUCCGAGGUCGUCUGCAGUGCCAGUUGCUGACCCCAGAGCCACCACGUCUGCACCAGCUACAGCCUCAGUUCCACCAGCUCCAGCAUCUACUUCAGCCUCGACCCCGACCACGUCUACAGAAGGCUUCGUCCUUGGAGUGCUCUGGACUCCACCACCACCUGAAGAUCAAGCCUGAGUGUCGACUUAGCACUAUGCAUUUUCUAGAAACUUUUUGGUAACUUGUUGCCAAAGGGGGAGAAAAUGUAUAGAUCAUAGGCUUCGAGAGAGAGAGUGUUGCUUUUUUCUCUCUUGCUUUAUUUGGUGGUUUUUCGAACUUUGUUUGCUUUUGAGUGCUUGAGAUACUAUGUCAUUGCUCGUGAGACAUUGAUGAUCAUGUGUUUGAUCAUAAGCUACACUUAAUGUUUGCUUAAUAUUAUCAUCUUAUCUAUCUUAUGUGAUCAUUCACUAUUCUUGGUGAUGAGUGCAUGUAUUUCAUUCUUAUCAUUUUAAGCGCUCCACCAAGAUGUAUGUGACAUGGAAGAGUAACCCAUGACUCUAACUCUUUGUGCAUUUGCAGUCCAAAGCAAAUUUUAAAUAUGCACAAAUUUAGGGGGAGCUCUUACUUAUCACAUACUUCUCAAAGCGACGAUAUAUUUCAUGCUUAUUAUCAUUUGUCGAAGCUUUGAUCUAUAUGUUGUCAUCAAUUACCAAAAAGGGGGAGAUUGAAAGUGCAACUAUCCCUAGGUGAUUUUGGUAAUUCAUAACAACAUAUAGCUCAUUGAGCUAAUGCUAUUCCAAGAUGACUAUUUCAGGAAAGCUCAAUGAUUGGCAUGGCAUGGAUGUGAAAGUGGAACCCUCAAAAUGCUAAGGACAAAGGAUUGGCUCAAGCUCAAAAGCUCAAGACUCUUCAUUUUAUAUUUUAGUGAUCCAAGAUCACAUUGAGUCUUUAGGAAAAGCCAAUACUAUCAAGGAGGGAUGAGGUGUUGCUUAAUGAGCCUCUUGCUUCAUGUGCUUAGUGAUAUGCUCCAAAACCCUCAACUACUUUCCCAUAUCCACAUAUGACCUAAACCCUAAGCCAAACUUGGUCCUACCGAUUCUUUCUAUCCGGCGCCACCGAGUUUCACUUGUCAUAAGCCACUGCCAAACCCUAGCAAUUCGGUUCUACCGAUAGGGAUCUCGGUCUCACCGAGAUGGGAUUGCAAACUCUUUGUUUCCCUUUCAUAACUUUUCGGUCUCACCGAAAGAGCGGAUCGGUCCCACCGAGAUUGCAAUGUAAAUUCAGUGUUUCCUUUUUGUAACUUUUCGGUCUCACCGAAAGAGCAAAUCGGUCCCACCGAGUUUGCCUGACCAACUCUCUGGUUAGCUAAUUACCAAAAUCGGUCUCACCGAGUUUGUGUAAUCGGUCUCACCGAGAUUACGUUAUGCCCAAACCCUAACCAUAUCGGUCCUACCGAGUUGCAUGUCAGUCCCACCGAAACUCUCUAACGGUCACUAGGUUUACCUUUUCGGUCCGACCGAGUUUGUUGAUUCGGUCCCACCGAGAUUGGAAAACUGUGUGUAACGGUUGGAUUUUGUGUGGAGGCUAUAUAUACCCCUCCACCUCCUCUUCAUUCGUGGAGAGAGUCAUCAGAACACAUACACAAUUCCAACUCAUAUGUUCUGAGAGAGAACCACCUACUCAUGUGUUGAGACCAAGAUAUUCCAUUCCUACCAUAUGAAUCUUGAUCUCUAGCCUUCCCCAAGUUGCUUUCCACUCAAAUCUUCUUUCCACAAAAUCCAAAUCCUAUGAGAGAGAGUUGAGUGUUGGGGAGACUAUCAUUUGAAGCACAAGAGCAAGGAGUUCAUUACCUACACACCAUUUGUUACUUCUUGGAGAGUGGUGUCUCCUAGAUUGGCUAGGUGUUACUUGGGAGCCUCCGACAAGAUUGUGGAGUUGAACCAAGGAGUUUGUAAGGGCAAGGAGAUCGCCUACUUCGUGAAGAUCUACCGCUAGUGAGGCAAGUCCUUCGUGGGCGAUGGCCAUGGUGGGAUAGACAAGGUUGCUACUUCAUGGACCCUUUGUGGGUGGUUGCUUCUUCGUGGACCCUUCGUGGGUGGAGCCCUCCGUGGACUCGCGCAACCGUUACCCUUCGUGGGUGGAGCCCUCCGUGGACUCGCGCAACCGUUACCCUUCGUGGGUUGAAGUCUCCAUCAACGUGGAUGUAGGAUAGCACCACCUAUCCGAACCACGGGAAAAACAUCCGUGUCUCCAAUUGCGUUUGAAUUCUCCAAACCCUUCCCUUUACAUUCUUGCAAGUUGCAUGCUUUACUUUCCGCUGCCAAUAUACUCUUUGCAUGCUUGGUUGAAUUGUGUGAUGAUUACUUGACUUGUCCUACAAUAGCUAAAAUCUGCCAAGAACUAAAAUUGGGAAAAGGUUAAGUUUUUAUUUGGUCAAGUAGUCUAAUCACCCCCCUCUAGACAUACUUUCGAUCCUACACCAAGUUCUUUAAUAAAGUCCUUAAUCUAGAGGAGUGACCAAGUAUCUACUUCAUAGUAAUCGAAAUUGUUAAUUAAGCCAUCCACUUAUGUCUUGUAUGAGCCAUGCUCGCAAACAGAACCACGAUGAUGAAUUUCUACUGCGAAACCAUCCUCAGGUGGUCCUGGUGAGAGAAAAAAGGGAAAUUUCCUAGAAACUAUAAAUCAAUUGAAAUCCUAGUUCCUAGAUCGGACAUAAGUGGUACAUAAAUGUGGUUAAUGUCAAUGCUUCAUGUAAUCUAUGUCCUAAGAGACUCGAAUAUACACAUAAUUGUCCCAAUGAACUCAAAAUAAUGGCCAAAUCGCUGGGAAGAAAAGCUAGGGUUCGUACCGUACCGUGGAGGGGGGGGGGGAUCAGGGGCUUGUCGUUUCCUGUCUUAAUCGGAUCCACGGGCUCGCUUCCAGCCACGGUAGUGACAUCGCUUGCCAUUCCCACCACCAUUUAGAUGGCCCCAAGAAACUGCCGCCGACCACCGCCCAGAAGCAUUUGAGAGGGGAAAGGAAAGAAAGGUGCGGGAACGAAAAUGAUCACAACGGUUGCGUCUUUUUCACAAAAAGUCAAGUGAUUUGCUCGACAUGGAGGUGCUCAACAUGCCACAGGUGCAGGGACGCGGGCAAUUUUAGGAUGAACGAUGACACAACUUGCUUUCUUUUAGUACCCAAAAAAGUCGUUUGAAAGAUUUAGGACUAACUUGACACAAAUAAAAAAGAUUAGGACAUCCCGUGUAUUUUACCUUUUUUUAUAUUGGCAUAAAGGAUGCGAACCGUUUUCUAUCAUGCAUAUUAUAAAUAACGUUCAUGGAUCCACUAUUCGACGUGUUGGAGAUUCGUGCACGCGUUGCUCGCUGCGGGACAAUGAAAUGUUACGAUACACUCUUUAAGAAGCAGAAUCUAGGUGAAGCUAGAUGAAUGUUUAGCGAUGCAUUCUCCUUUUACUCCAUACAAAACCUGUCAAAAAGUUAUGUACUACUCAGAAACAAGGCAAAACUUCGAUAAAACCGAAAACAUGUGCAACGAAUCUCCAGGUGACCAUAGACAACGGAUCCAUGCAUGUUGGCAUGGUAAAAGGAUAAUCUCCAUAGAUUAUGAGCUCUCACAGGAGAUCUUUAGAAGUGAGGAGAUUCCUCCUGACUUCUUUUUGGCUUGUUUCUUUACUCCCCUCAUAGUGGAUGCCUGCUUCUCUUACCUAGUUGCUCAUGACUGAAACAACAACUUGUUUACGGCCCGUCAUCGAGCCACAUCUCAUAUCGGAUCAAGAGCAUGCUAAAGUUUUGAACCGAGGAAGGAGCAUGGAAGUGGGGUGAGGCAGGUGAGGGACUAGCGGAGAAAGGUGGGCCCCAUGGUCGAUGUAGUGCGAUUAGGGGCAUUGCAAUUUUUUUCACUUACCGACGGGGAUGUUAGGGAUUCAUGGGAUCACAUGAUGCGUAGGGGGUAGCGGCGGUGCUGUAGGGUGGGGCGGCGGCGUCCACGUCGUGCAUGCCGGCGGCUCCACGCAAUGAACGCAGGCGGUGCCAGAGGGAAUAGUCGACCAGCGCUAUCUAGGUCAAAACGUCUGCGCGAGGGGUGGCGGGCCGUGGAGCGGCGCCGGAGCAAGGCGAUCCCACUGGGAGGGAAGAGGCGCUGGUUGCACCAUCACGACGACCGCAGACAAUCGCUUAAUAGUGAGGAUAACCUGCUUACAUCACCUUGUUGUACUUACCCUUGCUCUUCAUGGACGAUGGGCUCUCACCGGAGAUCUCUAGAAGUAGGAGAAUCCUUCCGAAAUCUGUUCGGCUUGUUAGGACUAUACUAUAAAUGACCCCAACCACCAGGCCAGAUGGCUAUUUGAUCUCACAACUAUCAAAAUUUGCCUAAAGUAAUUGCUCCAAAUAUUUGCCAAAUUUUGAAAAAUAUUUAAACACACAGGCUCGACUUUCUUUCCCCAUCCACCCAACCCAAACCCUAGAGAGAAAAAAAAGGAAGGAAAAAAUCAGCAAAAAAAGAGAGAGAAAAUGCGCCGCCGUUGUUCGCCGUUGUGACCCCGCCGCCGGCGAGGCCUCCCCCGCGUCCAUGGAUCUUUCCGCCGCAAGCGCCCUCGCCGUCCUCAGCAAGCUGCAGCUCCUCGGCUUCUGCGUCGGCCUCCAGAUCCCCGACGACGCCGCCGACCCCUCCGAGGUGUUCGACACCAUCCUCGCCGCGUUCCUGGGCGAGGUCUACCCCGGCGAGCGCGAUGCGCGCCCGCUCCCGGCCGCCCUCGGCGACGGGCGCCGCGUGGACCUCCUCCGCCUCUUCACCGCCGUCCGCGCCGCCGGCGGCUACGCCGUGGUCUCGUCGCCCUCUGCCGGCGUCUGGGCCGCAGCCGCCGGAUCCGCGGCCCUCGCCGCGCCCGUCAAGCUGAUCUAUGCCAAGUACCUCGGCGCGCUGGAGCGCUGGAUCCAGAGGCUCCCGGAGGCACAACCACCGCCGUCUGACGAGAUGCGGCAGGAGCUGCUGCUCUGCGUCCGCGGUGCCAAUGGAGUUGAGAUGGAGGAGCCGUCCAUGGACUGCAAUGGGCAGCAUGGCGCGCUCAAGAGGAAGAGGGAAGACAUUGCUGGGAUGCUGGAUUGGGUGAGGGGGCUCGCCGAGAGUGUCUCGGAGGAGGGCGCCAUCGCCGCCGGGUUGGCGGAUGGAUACUUCCCGGUGGCAUUGGCGGCGCGGGAGGCGGUGUCCAGGAAGAGGGCACGCCGCGCAAGCGUGACCAACGGCGCGCUCUCGCAGGUGAUUCCGACACCUUUGAUAAACUUGUUGCUGAAGAUAAUGUUUGACAUAUUGGUAUUGCAUCACUGCACUGCACAUAUAUAGGCAGACAUACAUACAGAAUUGGCACUGGAUUACUUCAGCAAUACAUACAUACAGAGAUGUUAGCUGGCAACAUCUAUCUCUAUCCCUUUGAUCUUCUACGUUUAGGCCCUGUUUCGAUUGUCGUUUUCCUUUUAAAUACCCCUGUAAAAAUACACGUCUGUACCGAAGGAUAAGAUUGUCGUUUUGUUUCCAGCUGAAAAUUGCUCGUGGUCGGUAAUUUAAAGGCCUUAGUGCCACUGGACUGUACUAGUGGAGAUCCACAUAUUAGAUAAUUUGUUUGAUUUCCCCUAAACAUAAGUAAAUAAAUAAAAUUCAUGCUUCAGGUCUUACCAGUCUUUUCAUUAGUGCUUUAAUUAAGGCCUGGACACCCUUGUAAAUUUGGCUACCUACCCUACAAAUGGAGCAUUGCCGUUCCUUUUCUUUCUAAUUUUGAUUGUGCAGAUUGGAUGCUGGUAAAAGAGCAUUUAGAAGAGUAUUUAAAAGGAGCAUUUAACUACUUCUAUCUUCAUUUUGGUGACGUGGUAUAUAGUUCGGGCAAAAUGUGUGAACUUCCCAUUUGCCGUCUCUGUGUUAGAACUUCUGGAGGGAUACGCGGGUGCUACCAACCAGAGGGCAAAAUCUGGCCUAACCCUGCUUAAGCAUUACACUGUGCACAAUUUAAGCUACAGUAUCUUUGCUCCCUGAUGUUCGCUCAUGUAUCAUUGGGAUGACGGAUACUAUAAAUAGAGCUAUGAAAUCUCCCUGAUGCUUUGGCCCCGGAUAUUACCUGUCGGGUACUGUGGGUGGUUGAAAAUAUUUUGUUUGCUUUAUUGCCUUGAAGAUGAUAGUCCCCUAUAAAUAGAGCUAUGAAACCUUACCUUUCUGGCUAAGCCGAUUACUCGGCAACUGGAUACAUAUCUUAUUCAUAGUCACUGAAUGUUUUUUUCUUCUGAUGGCGCAGGAAACUGGUUGCAGGUGCUGCAGGAGUACCACCUGUGCCAGAAUUGGUGUUCAAUGCAGCAAAAUUGUUCAACAACCUGGUUCGGAUACUAAUAAUCUAACAAGAGUUGUUGAUGUGAAUGGAUCCUCGACGGUCAUAGAACAGGCGAGCAGUGUGAACGGACAAUUGAAGCAUUCUAAAAGUCAGCAGAGGAACAAACUACUAGUGGGCUCCAAUUAUCAAGCAGUGGUGCCACAGUGGACUGGCUUUCCGCCUGAAAAUUACGGCGAUCCGGAAACCCUCAAAUGGCUGGGCACAAACAUCUGGCCUCCAGAAAAUGAGAACAAAAUAACCCGAACUUACCAUGACCCUAUUGGCAAAGGCAGAGAAUAUGUUUGCAGCUGCAACGUCCCGCGAUCAGUAGAAUGUGUCAGGUUUCACAUUGCAGAAAGGCGGCUGCAGCUGAGACGUGAACUCGGCCCUGCUUUCUACCAGUGGGGAUUUGACCAUAUGGGCGAGGAGGUUGCCCUUUCUUGGACGGAUGAAGAGGAGGCAAGUUUCAAGGCUGUAAUGCAGACCUAUGCGCCAUCUCCAGCAAGGAAUUUAUGGAACCAUCUUCAGUCAUCCUUCCGCUGGAAGCCGAGGAAAGAACUUGUGAGCUAUUAUUUUAAUUGUUUUCUGCUUAGGCGGAGGUGUUACCAGAAUAGGACCGCACCAAAGAAGAUAGAUAGUGAUGACGAGGAAGAGACAGAGUUUAGGUUUUUGGGAAACCGUAUGGGACAAAGUGCAACCAAGUAUGACAGCACCAAGCGCACCGUUUGCAUUCAGAGUACUCACUGCAUGGAUCUGGAUGAUGAGUAGUUGCUGAUUGAUCACAUUCUAGGAGGCUGGUUGAAGCCUGUUCAGGAGUUUGGAUUUAUAAAUGGCCCCCAUUCAUUGAUUUGGUUGACAUUGCACAUGAGUUGCUGUGAGCAAAGAGUUAGACCAUUUUGCUUACUGUUUUCAGAGCCUUGCCAGCAAUCCAAGUUUUGACAUGGACUUGUAUGUUGUAUCCGAGAAGUAAAAAAAAAUGCACUGGUAUUUAUUUUUGAAACAGAGAACUGCAGGAACAGUAAACUUGAUUUGUACAAGUGAGAGAUGAGGAGGAUAUAUAGAGGCAGAGCUGAUCCAAGCCAGUUGCAGUCUUUGGGGCUGAGAGGAUUAACCUGUUGUAUACAUUGUGGAAUAUUAUGUUGUUAUCAGAGAGAACCUGACUGACUUGUAUCAUCAUCAUCAUGUAUACCUGUAUCCUCUGUGGAUUGACAUGUACAUUGACCAGUAGGUAAAAGUAUAUGGAGUGAUGGCCCGUAUCAUCAUCAUCAUCAUCAUCAUCAUCAUCAUGUACACAGUAGCCCGUUCCGGUCGUAUUUCUCUCUCUAGAUAUGGAGUGAUGGCAGGCAUAGGAAUGAUAUGUUGAGGUUAGUCUUGUGAAACUAAUGUUGCAGUUGUUGUUUGUUGUAGACUGAGCAUGUCUGUUUUAUUUCUUUGGGUUUCGUUCGGCAUCUCAAUAAGUACAUGUCUGUUUUAGUUUAUGAGUUGUUUCUUUUCUUUCUUGUGAGCUAUAAAUAAAUGUCAAAUAGUAUUAUCAACCUUGGGAAAUAUUAUCAACAUUUACUCCUCUGUCACAUAUUAACCGACAGAUAAAUGGGAAUCGGCUUUAGCAUAGUCUGAUCUGAUGUACUAGAAUUUAGUUCCAAUUUUGAAUUUUAGGCAUUAGCUUUGGUGGUGCUGUGCUGUGCUGUGCUGUGCUGUGUAGGUUUGGUGGUGCAAGAUGACGGCGUCGUCUUGCUGCUGCUUCCGACUGCUGUUGAGUCGGUGUCUGUUUCCCAAGAUUAUGCUUGUGGGUUUUGAUCUGAAGAAGAAUAAAUUGGAGCUUAGCGAAUUGAGGUUGGUUUCUACGUACGUAUUUGGUUUGGUUAGCCAUCCCGUCCCGUGGUUAAUUUUUUUUGGCUGGCCAUGUUUAUGUUGCUAGUACUGUAACCAAAUCUGAGAUGAGUCUGCAACUGUAAACUAGCUUGUGGCAAGCAUCUGAUCAUUUGAAAUCUGCAGUCUUGUCCGUGUGAGUGAUGCAUCCCGUCGUUUAAUAUUUUGGCCAUUAGCUUUGGUGGUGCUGUUCUCUGUUGUGCUGUGUAGGUUUGGUGCUGCAAAGGUUCAAGUCAGUACCUGUUUCCCAAGAUUGUGCUUGUGAAAAAUGUUCGUGAAAGUUUCUUGGAUUUGGAAAAAGAUCAUGAGUUCAAAAGAUGUUCAAUAAAUGAAAAAUUGUUCCCGAAUUUUAAAAUAGAUCACAAAUUUGAGAAACAUUCAAAAAUUCAAAAAAAUAUUCACAGAUUGAAAAGUGUUUGUGGAUUUGAAACAAGUUCAAAAAUUCAAAGAAAAUUGUUAAAUGAAAAAUAUUUGCACAUUUGAAAAAUAUCACAAAAUUAAAAAUAGUUCAUGGAUUUAACAAAGUUCAUGAACUUGAGAAAAGGUCUCAUUUUUUUAAAAAAAAAUGCGAAUUUGAGUAAAGUUCAUGAACUUGAAAAAAUAUUAACGAUUUAAAAAAUGUUCAUCAUUUCAAAAUGUAAAAAAAAGAAAAGAAAAAAAUGAAUGAGUAAAAAGAGUAAUGAAAACAACAAAGAAACUGAAAGAUAAAUCAAAAUAGUACUAAAAAAGAGAACGGAAAAUAAUGUGAAAACCAGAAAGGAAAAAACCAAAUAGAAAACCAUGGCUGGAAAAUACAGAAAGACUGUCAAAAAAAGAGAAACCGAAUAGAAAACCAUGGCUGGAAAAUACAAAAAGACUGUCAAAAAAAAAGAGAAACCGAAAAGAAAACCAUGGCUGGAAAAUACACAAAGACUGUAAAAAAAAAGAGAAACCAUGCGAAAGAACAUUCUAGAAUGUUCCCAAAAGCGGCAAUUAACCACACUGUUCCAUGGGCCAGGCCGUUAGAAGUAGCAGCCCCCCACCUGAGCUCUCGCUACGAAUAAAGAGCUAUCACCAGAUAGGAUAUACCCCUAAAAAAACCAGAUAGGAUAUGGCUAAAACUUGCGUGUCUCAAAUGUUUUUGUUGGAUAUUUAUGCAAAAUAUUUUAUUUUUGAGCCCGUCAAAAAAUAUUUUAUUUUAUUUUUGAGAGACAUAUCAUUUAAGGACGCGUCUACACAGCGGCCGGCUGCUCCCUGUCGUUUCGGAGCAGCCGGCCAAAAUACAAAAAGUUUGAUAUGUAAUCCAUAAAAAGAAAUGUCUUGUCCUUAUGUCUUGUCCUUUUUGUCCUUUAUAUUGAUUAGAUUUUUUUCCAUCUGGUCCUUUUUUCAUGACAUAUUAAAUGCCCGAAACAGUUAUCUUUUAGAUGUAGAGUGCAUGUGCAUUUAAUUUGUGGUUUUAAAUUUUCAAAAAACAAUAACUUUCAAAUUGCGCAUCAAAAUUAAGAUUCGUUUUCACUACUGGAACCAUCGCGGCGUGCUCUUCGAAACUAAAUCCCACAUGAGUAUAUUUCGACGAAUUUUUUUGUGCAAUUUUGUCCCCGUUUUGUGCAACUGACUAACCGUUGUUGUGUAACUACCUGACAGGGAUGUGCAACUUUUCUCGUACACUGUAGACAUGCAGUUUUUCUCUAUGGUGCCUCCACCUUCAAACUGCCUCCUUUCAGUGAGAUGUGCAACUUCGUUUGUUGUCUAGGCCAUGCAGUUUUCACUAGUGGCACCACCCCAUACUACUCUCUAACAGUGAAAUGUGCAUUUUCGCUGUGCCCUAGCCAACUGCCUAGUAGUCGUCGUGUGUGGGCAGCCCCCACAACCGUGUUCGAGGGACUAUCCUAUGAGGAUGUCCCAACUCCACGGUCACGCAUGUGCGACUAUGCACACAAGAGUGUGCAACUCCGUGGUCGGACGUGGGCAUCUCCCACAGUAGUUCAUGUGCGACUAUGCAGACGAGAUUGUGCAACUGUGUGGCCAUGCAUGUGCGACUAUGCUGAUGAGAGUGUGCAACUCCGUGGUCGGACAUGACCACGUCCCACAAAAACUUAUGUGCGACUAUGCGGACGAGAUUGUGCAACUCUGUGGCCAUGCAUAUGCGACUGUGCCGACGAGAGUGUGCAACUCCGCGGCCAUGCAUGAGCACCUCCCACGAUAAUUCAUGUGCGACUAUGCGGACGAGAUUGUACAACUCUGUGUUCAUGCAUGAGCAUCUCCCACGAUAAUUCAUGUGCGACUAUGCGGACGAGAUUUUGCAACUCUGUGUUCGUGCAUGUGCAACUAUGCCGACGAGAGUGUGCAAUCCCGCGGCCAUGCGUGAGCACCUCCCACGAUAAUUUAUGUACUAUGCACACGAGAUUGUGCAACUCUGUGGCCAUGCAUGUGCGAUUAUACCGACGAGAGUGUGCAACUCCGCGGCCGGGCAUGAGCACCUCCCACGACAAUUCAUGUGCGACUAUGCGGACGAGAUCGUGUAACUCUGUGACCAUGCAUAUUGUGCCGACAAAAGUGUGCAACUCCGCGGCCAUGCGUGAGCAUCUCCCCACGGACCCGCGACUAAUGCAUUGCGUCCUUGCAUCGACAAUGACCCGGCGGAGAUCAUCAUCAUCGGGCACAUCGUCUGGUUCCUCUUGAUCUUCAGCAGCUUCACCCGUGGCAGCAUCAUUGGGCACAUCGUCUGGUUCCUCUUGAUCUUCACCAGCUCCCCACGUUGCAGCAUCACCGUAUUCAGGGGGCACAUAGUUGUCAUCGUACUCUUCUUCUUCGCCGUCUUCCAUCAUAACCCCUAUUUCUCCGUGCCUCGUCCAAACAUUAUAGUGUGGCAUGAAACCCUUGUAAAGCAGGUGGGAGUGAAGGAUUUUCCGGUUAGAGUAAGACCUCAUAUUCCCACAUUCAGUGCAUGGACAACGCAUAAAACCAUUCUGCUUGUUUGCCUCAGCCGCAUCGAGAAACUCAUGCACGCUCUUAAUGUACUCGCGGGUGUGUCUGUCACCGUACAUCCAUUGCCGGUUCAUCUGCGUGCAUUAUAUAUAAUUAAGUGUCCAAAUUAAUAGAAGUUCAUCAUCACAUUAAAACCAAAGUGCAUACAUAGUUCUCAUCUAACAACAUAUAGCUCUCCAGAGCAUCUACUUAAUUAAACCAUACAUUGAAACUAUGUAAAACAUUUCAAUGCGAAAACAAAUGCGAUCAUAAUCGCAACCAAGGUAACAAUUGAUCCAACGGUAUAAUGAUACCAAGUCUCGGUAUGAAUGGCAUAUUUUCUAAUCUUUCUAAUCUUCAAGCGCAUUGCAUCCAUCUUGAUCUUGUGAUCAUCGACGACAUCCGCAACAUGCAACUUCAAUAUCAUCUUCUCCUCCUCAAUUUUUUUUUAUUUUUUCCUUCAACAAAUUGUUUUCUUCUUCAACUAAAUUUAACCUCUCGACAAUAGGAUCGGUUGGCAUUUCCGAUUCACAUACAUCCUAGAUAAAUAAAAUCUAUGUCACGUUGGUCGGCAUAAUUUUCAUAAACAAUAAAUGAACCAAUAGUUAUAAAGAUAAUAUACAUACCAAAUCCGAAUCAUAGACAGGACGAGGGCCGACGGGGGCGGAUACCAAAACCAUCGCACUAUAUAAGAUGCAAUAAUAAAUGUAAGAAAAUGAUACAAGUAUCUAUCUAAACAUACAAGUAAGAAUAUUUUUCCUUUCAGAAAGAAGAUAAGAACAAGAGGCUCACCACGGUGGUGUCGGUGAUGAGAUCGGCGCGGGUGAUCGACGGCGGUGAAGACGGGGAUGGGGCGUGACGGACCGCUAAAUCUAGACAAAUCUCGAGGAAAAUGGAGCUUGGAGGUCGAGCUUCGAGAGGAGAAAGCUUAAUAGUGUGGCUCGGGCAUUCCAUCGAACACCUCAUGUGCAUAGGAGGUGAGCUAGAGCACCACAAAGCCCUCUCCCCCUCGGCCAGAAAAAACAGAGCACUGUGCUCUGCUCUUGCGCGAGGGGGUAUAUAUAGGCACCUCAUUGGUCCCGGUUGGUGGCAUGAACCGGGACCAAAGGGGAGCCUUUGGUCCCGGUUCAAGCCACCAACCAGGACCAAUGGUAGUGGGCCAGGAGCGAGGCCCAUUGGUCCCGGUUCGUCCCACCAACCGGGACCAAAAGGUCCAGACGAACCGGGACCAAUGGCCCACGUGGCCCGGCCGGCCCCCUGGGCUCACGAACCGGGACCAAUGCCCACAUUGGUCCCGGUUCUAUACUGAAUCGGGACUAAUGGGCUGAGCCGGCCUGGACCAUAGCCCUGUUUUCUACUAGUGAACCGUGCCGACGAAAGUGUGCAACUCCGCGGCCAUGCGUGAGCAUCUCCCCACGACAAUUCAUGUGCGACUAUGCGGACAAGAUUGUACAACUCUCUGUACAUGCGUGUGUGACUAUGCCGGCAAGAGUGUGCAACUCCGCGUCCGGGCGUAAGAACCUCCCACGAUAAUUCAUGUGCUACUAUAUGGGCCAGAUUGUGCAACUCUGUUGCCAUGCAUGUGCGACUGGGCCGACGAAAGUGUGCAACUUGGCGGCGGGGCAUGAGAACAUCCCAUGAUAAUUCAUAUGCGAUUAUACGGAUCAGAUUGUGCAACUAUAUGGUUAUGCAUGUGCCAAAUAAAACUAGUAUAUGUGCAACUACAACUAGUGUGAGUAUCAACUAGCCAUCCAGGAAGAGUCUAGAUGCACGAACACACAGCCGCGUGCAGACCACCGCGAUGCAUUCAUCCGUGCUCCCUUCUUCUUGUCCUUGCCACGUGCUCCCUUCUUCCCGUCCACAACAAGGAUGCAUGCACCCUUCUCAUUCACUCCCAGCCUUUUGGAUCAAUGGAUUCGGAGGGAGGCGCUCUACAUUUGUACUGCUACAUAGAAAUAAAAUGGAGUGAGAAAGAAGAUGUGGCUGCAGGAAGAAAAGAGCGAGAAGAGAAUCUGAAUUUGCUUUCCCCCUUGUUUGACCCGUUCCUCCCCUUACAUGUGUUAUUCCCUGAGGUGCUGCUGCCUGAAGAGAAUCUGAUGCCGCAAAGAAAAUAUGGAUGCUAAUAAACAGAGAACUGCAGGAACAGUAAACUUGAUUUGUACAAGUGAGAGAUGAGGAGGAUAUAUAGAGGCAGAGCUGAUCCAAGCCAGUUGCAAUCUUCGGGGCUAAGAGGAUUAACCUGUUGUAUACAUUGUGGAAUAGUAGUAUGUUGUUAUCAGAGAGAACCUGACUGACUUGUAUCAUCAUCAUCAUGUAUACCUGCUUUCGCCCCCUCAUUUUUUAUCCUCUGUGGAUUGACAUGUACAUUGAGCAGUAGGUAUAAGCAUACCUGACAGUAGCUUGCUCUAGCCUAUUCUGGUUGCAUCUCUAGAGUGAUGGCAUAAAUAGGAAUAGAACGUUGAGGUUAGUCUUGUGAAACUAAUGUUGCAGUUGUUCUUUGUUGUAGACUCGGCAUAUUUUAUUUCUUUGGGAAUUUUGUUGUUCCGGCAUCUCAAUAAGAACAUGUCUAUUUGUCUACUAGCACAUAUACCCGUGCGUUGCAACGGGAAAAAUUGAUGUUUUGUUUUCAAGCAUAAUGUCUUGUAGCACCGGAUUCACUGCGAAGAACAUGCUGCAAUGCAUCAUCCUUUCACAAAAUGAACAUAAAAAAUAGGAUGCAAUUUAUUAGCAUCCAUAUUUUCUUUGCGGCAUAACCUUCCACUAAUUCCGAUUAAGUAUAAUCCUUCCUUUAGUUACAAUGACGUCCUCACCCAUUUUAGUCGGGAAUCAAAUCCUUCCUUUUCUAAUUUAGUAGCCCUUAGCCACAUCCAUUUAAAUAUCCUAUUUAAGCCCACAAUCCUUCCUUUAGUUAGCUCACUCGCUUAAUUAGCUCGCCCUACACGUGAGGGCUGCUCUCCUUUGUUUUAACCGUCCGUUGGUUGAUUCCUGAGACCGCUUGUAUAUUUACUGGUGGUAACCAUUGUAAAAGAGCGAGGUGGGAUUAGUGAACGUGAAAGAUGCAUAGCUCGCUGGUUGUUACAUCAAAGAGCUAGACAGGAGGUACCGUGUUUAAUUUCCACAAUGUUGAUUUGUUUUGACCCAAUUAUUUUUCGCGGUCUCUAUGUAAGCCCAUAGAAGGCCCCGUGUGUACGACAGUACGAGCGAACCAAACCAAACCAAUAAUACCUAUUCCCUUUAAUAGUAGGUAUAGAUAUAGAUAUCGAUAUAGAUAUAAAUAAACGAGUUGUUUCUAGCGGCAGCAUUUUCCUUUUCUUUCUUGUGAGCUAUAAAUAAAUGUGAAAUAUUAUCAACCUAAGCACCACACUUAUUUACUCCUAUGUCAGAGAUUAACCGACAGACAAAUGGGUACCAUACUGUCUGAUGUGCUACAAUUUAGUUCCAAUCGAACAGCUUGCAUACCUUUUUUUAGAACGAAGGCUCAAGGGGAGCCCGGCUUUGAAUUAAUGAAGCCAUCAACCGGCCAGGAUUACACAAGGCCACCAAGCAAUAGCGACCAAAAGAUACAAUGGAGCUUAGUGAACAGCUAACAAUGCAACACACACUACAACAAAAAGAAAAAUACAUGAAGAGCCCUGCUAGUAGUGUCGAAGCCUACUGCACAUAGUCAGCAGAGAGAGGAGCAACAGAGAAGCCUCGAUGAUCAGCCGAUAGCCAGAGAAAGGUGUGAACUGUCUGAACCCAAAGACUAGGGAAGAACAUCGCUCCCAACGCGAAAGAGGAACCCUUUCCUCUCGCCUAGGCUCGAAGGCGCUCACCCGAGAACUAGAGCAGACGCCAGCCAAAUCCCCAUCGCAGACAAGUUGCACAACCCUCGCCACACCGCUGGCACACACCACAGCUGCACUGCCACCUCUCCUGAACAACCAAGAGCAGAAGGAUAGCCGUCGGGAGGUCGCCGAAGAAGAAAGCUGCAGAGGCCAAGAGGCGGAGCAGGGGAGCACCAGGUCCCGUUCCAAUGGCCGCAAGAGGGACUCUUGCGGGAACGAGCACCCUCCACAGAAAGACGCAAACUUGGCCUCGCAGCCGACGGACGCUCACCAACCACAUCGUCCCUCUCCUGAAGAACCAGACACCCCAGACGACGCCUCCAACGAGGACGCGACGCGCUAGGCGCCGCCGCCGGCCAACCCGAGACGGGUUUUGGGUUUUCACCCGGGGUCUGGGACAGGGGUGAAGAGGAGAGCCCUCAACGGCGCCUCCAGGGGAGAACACGACGCGCACACGCGCCGUCGCCGUCGUGGCCGAAGGACCGGCCAAGGGUUUCCCCAGGGCUCGAACCUGAGCACCCGCACCCCGCCAGCACCGGAUCUGGCGACCAGAGUCGCAGAAGGGCACGACCGAAGCGGAGGAGAGAGCAGGGGAGGAGGGCGCCUGACCUUGAGAUCUGGGACAGAGGGAAUCCGCACCGCGACCACCCGCUGUAUCCACGCUGCCCGGGCAGCCGAGGAUGCCGGCCACCACUUCCUGCGCGUGCCGCCAGUCGCGGAGGCAGCGCCGCCUCAUCAUCCGGGGCCGCUGCCCUGGCUUCCAGGUCCUUCGCGGGGGCACGAAGCAACGCAUCACCUCACCGCCACCUUCAUCGACGACCCACCAGGCUUGCCCGUCGAUCCCCUCAGGUGGCGGCGUUGAGGGGCUGGGAUUGAGGGGGUGGCGGCGCGGGGGAAACCCUAGUCGCCCCCGAGUCGCCCUCGGGAGGACGACGCGAGGGCGGGGGGAGGAACGAUCUCAAAGUGUUCAAUGCACGUCCCAACAGCUUGCAUACUUAGAAUUCAGUAUCAUAGUUCCUAUCGAUUGAUGUUAUUAUUGGCCUAAGAAACUUGGUUCUCUUUCGCAAUGGGAAUUCGACUGACUGUACCAUGACCAAUAUUCAUGGUACUGAAGCAUUAUGUCAAUGUUUUAUCCCGGUUUUUGUGGGAAUUCAGUAGCGUAGUCUGGUGUGUUGUUUCCAACCAGUUAAUGCUAUUUCAGGUGAAUUCCAGUUACGCGUAUUUAUGUUGAUCUAACAAUUAAUGGUGCUUGCAUUCUUGGAAUAUUUGCACUGCAUCACCUAUGUUUUCAGCAUAAAAGUCUGAAACUGGGAUUACGUAUGCAAAUUGUUUAUUGGAUAUACAAUACUUCCUCUAGGGCUGUUUCUGGCAGUAUUAUUUUUAUUUAAGUUUUUUCAUUAAAAAGAGAAGAAAAUAAAUUCUCUGAGUAGUCCGUCCCGCACACCUUUCGAUACUGCUUGGACUCCAGUCCAAGGACUUGGCCCCUGCUUUACAUUCAAAGGAGAAGAAAAAGAAAAAGAAAAGGAGGAAGAAUCUGACAGUAAAAUCUUUAUUCUUCAAGUAGCUCCAGCCUCAAGCAAAGAAGCAGCCAGCUACAGAUGCCUUGGCUAAAACUAAAGCAACCCCUGCACUGCACUGCAUACCAGCAAGUCCUUCUGCUAUAGAUCUGCACACAAGGUUAAGCUACUAUCAAUCAAAACCACUAAUAUGCAUGAUUCUUCUGUUACAUAUAUUAUUUUUCUCAUCUUAAUUGCUUGAUGUUUCUCUUCUUUCCAAAAGAACAAUCAUUUUUAAUUAUGCAUCUACUAACAAUGUUUCUUCAGGCAGGCACGGACAUAACUAUCUCUUGCGCUCUUCUGGUAUAAGUAACUACUAGGUGCCAUCCGGAGGUGCAGAUCGAUCGAUGGGUUAGAUGUCUGGUUUGCUGGGCCUCCAUUGAAAUACUAGUCGUCAUGCCUCGACAGGUAUUAAUUUGUUUGCCUACACACGCAAUUCUUCUGGUGCUAUGUUAUAUAUGUCAGAGAUUCUUUUCUUAGUUGAUUCUUGAGUAAAAAUUGUUACUUUCUUCUAUUAUUACAUUCAAGAAUUAAUUACGUGUUCAUUAGCUCCAUGGAUCAACCAAGAUGGCAACAUCACACACACACACACACAGACACAGACACAGAGGAUGCAAUUUCAGGCUUAAUAUUAUUACUGGAGCUAGGAGGCUAGUUAGAAGGGGACGGACCACUAUCCAUCCUUUCCUUCUAACACUGACCACCAAAUCAAAACAUCACUUCUGCUCUGUCCGACUAACACUGGCCCCACGCAUGCAGUUUAGUUAAUUACUAAUGUCCAUCCGAAUAAUAACACAAGGCCUUUUUCGUAUACAUGUUUCUACUGCUAAUCAACUAACUGUUAUAAACUAAUGCAGAGGAUUUUCCCGAAUACUAUCAAAGAAGCCGUGCAAGAGAUAAUCCCCUAUUUGGAGGAUACGAGCAAUGCUGCACACAAGGCCAUAUAUUUUGAUGGAUGGGAUGGGAUGGCUGCUUCGGUGGUGCUUAGAGCCAUAGUUGAAGACCCGCCACCGUCACUGCUGAAGAAAUUCGACAAGAUCAUCCAUGUUGAUUGCUCGAAGUGGAAAAGCCAAAGAGCACUCCAAAGGACAAUCGCACAAGAACUGAAGCUCCCUCAUCGGGUAAUGGAUAUUUUGGAUAGGCAAGAUGAAGAUGAUGAUUUCAGAGGGGUAGAUGAAAGCUCCAGAGCUGAGAUUGGAGUCAUUGCGAGGGAGCUACAUAAAGCCCUACGAGAACACAUAUGCUUAUUGGUCUUCCAUAAUGGCAGCAACAAUUUGGUUGACUUGGCUGAUUGUGGCAUUCCUCAACCGCCUAUCUUUGAUGUUAAGGUAUUGUGGACAUUUCGAGGAAGGCUUCGGCUCAACCAAGGAAUUAGUGAGAAGGUGGAUCCUUCGCAUCUUUUCCUUUAUGAUGAGUACAGUACUUACGGGUGGAAUUAUUUGCUUCAAAUAGAGGCUAGAGAAAUUGCUGGGUACACGGAUAAUCUUGGUGCAGCAGCAGCUACCGAGUGUUGCUUGUAUCUCUUGUCAUUAAAUUCUCAAGGAGGCAAUAUCAUGGACUAUGACUGGGCCACACAUGCUUCCAACUAUUGGGUAUGUGAUGGGAUUAUACAGGGAGGUCAGGGUGAUGAAGCAUGGAAGGUUGCUGCUGCUCUGCAUCAACAUAUAGAUAUGGAGGAUUAUGCAUCUAAUGCACUGCCCUCUUUUGGUCAUCGGUUGGAGACUCCUCCGAAACGAUGGAUAUUGGCCAAGGACAGCUCUGUUGUGCAGCCAGAGUCAACGUCAUUUUUCCUCACUGCAGCCGCAAGCGAGUCUGAUCCAUUGUUAAGACCCUUACCUAAUGACAUGUUUCAUCAAUCGGACAAACUUCGGGUGCUCAAGUUAUGUCAUUGCACCUUCAGUUUUUCCUCUCCUCCUUUUAGUCGUUGCCACAAGUUGAGAUUCCUUGGAUUAGAUGGCUGCAAGGACCAGCGAGCAGAAGAAGAUGAGAAGCAAGAUAUGGAUUUUUUGAAGAGCCUAUGGGUGAUAGACAUACAAAAUACAGACUGGCAUCUGCCUUCAUCACCAGAGAUGAUAAAGCAGAUGGCUGCAAACAUUAGGGAAGUACAUAUAAAGAAUGGAAUGUUUUGGCACAUCAUUUUUGCAUUGGGACAGCCACAAAAUCUUCACAAGCUUCGCGUUAUUGACCCUACAUGCUGCUCUUUGGAGACAGGUUUGCCCAGCUUGUCAAGUUCAACUAGCCUCAAGACUCUGGUUCUAGAUGGUCGUGUUGGUUUGAAAGUUAUAGAAGGACUCCCUCCAUCCCUUGAAUCAUUCAGCUUAGAUGCCAGACCAAAAAAGGAUGGUUACAAGGAAGCCAAAAUAAGUCGCAUCUCCAUGGCUGGCUGUGCAAGAUUGUCUGACUUCACACUGCGUGGAUCACUUCCAAACCUUGAGGAGCUGGACCUCUCAGGCACAGGAGUCAAGACACUUGUCCUUACAACUCAGGUGGUGCUGGCCCCAUGUCUCCAGCGAGUCAUGCUGUUGGGAUGUGAGCAACUCCGUGCUGUGCUUUGGCCAGAAAUGGGGAUGCCCCAACUAAGUUUGCUCUGCAUUGACACUCGAGGAGGAGAAGAGGUCGGAAGAAUACCACCUGGUUUUGAUAAGUUAAAAAAGGGUGAUUGUCAAGCAUAUGUUGCUAUGAUGGACAUGAAAUUCAUUCAGUUAUUGGUGCUAACAAGUUCCAAUAUGUUUUGGAACACUAACAUUGAUAUGUUCAAUCUAAAUCUCUGCAUAUCUGCAAGUGGACAGUGGCGCAAUAAGAAGAAUAUGGACUCUGAUAACAGUGGGGAAAAAUUGGGGCCAGCCCUAGCAAAGCCAUUAAUGUCCAAUUCUUCUCACAACCCCUACAUUGAUGCAGGUAUUGACAACAUAAGUAUAGAUCAUGACUACAACAGUGCAUCCCAAUUUCAGUCAUCGACCUACCAUGUGGAGAUUGGUGAUGGAAUUAGCAACACUUGUGUCGAUAGCAUACAAGCAACCAAGGCUAUGAUCUUUGCAACGAACAAGGCCAAGUCGUUGUGUGUGCAUGACAAUUCUUCCAUCACCACAGUCAUCCCAGAACACAUGAUGUCCAUAGAGGGAGAGAAACUUUUAUGGCUAGAACUGGAAUCUUGUCACGUGGUGAGAUGCCCCAAGAUGCAUACAGUCUUCAAUACUAUCUAUGGAUACAUCAGAUUUCCAAAACUAGUGAACUUUUGUGCGGCUGAUCUGCUGAUGACCCAUUGCAUUUGGAGCAAAGAGAGGACACUCAAUGUUGAAGAUAAUCGCUCCUUUGCGAAACUGCAGAGCAUACACCUGUUCUCCUGCCCGAGGCUCACAUUUGUCCUCCAGUGGUCCAGGUUAUACAUCUUGAGUAGCCUGGAGACCCUCCACAUCGUCUUCUGUGGUGAUCUAAGGCAAGCGUUCCCUGUGGCGCCAGAGGUUCUGACAAGAAUAGCUAACUACCAUAAAGGUGUACUGGAAUUCCCAAACCUGAAGCAUAUCUACUUGCAUCAGCUCUUCAAGCUGCAACAUAUAUGUGAAGCCAAGAUGUUUGCUCCCAAGCUGGAGACCAUCAGGGUGAGGGGAUGCUGGGGUUUGAGGCGGCUCCCGGCUGUCGGCCGAGACAACCGCCCAGUUGUGGACUGCGAGAAGGAUUGGUGGGAGAAGUUGGAGUGGGACGGGCUGGAGGCUGGCCAUGACCCUUCCCUCUUCAAGCCACGCCACUCGGCGUAUUACAGGAAGCCCCUGCCUAGAUGCUCAGUUCUGUGUGUGUUUCCUUCCUCAAGAAUAAAGUGGUGCAUCAAGGCUUAAUCGUUUUGUGUGUGUCUCCAUGCAAAGGACUUAUGUAUCAUUGUUGGUGUGGUUUGUUUUCUGCUCAUGUGUGUGUUUUCUCAAGACAGAUUCAGUACAGCAGCAUGUGUACCUUGUUGGAAUUAACCACGCUGCCUAGUCUGUGUCCGUCUCGGACCAGAACACAUCACCGAGUAGGGCUUGUAGUGGUACGCUAGAUUAGCUACUAUAUAUAUAAUCCUAUGUAUCCCCUGUAAUCUUGUACUUAGACCAGUUGUGUACGUGUGUGUGCCACCGUAUACUAAGGCGUCUGUAGUCUACACGCGCGUUGCUGUGGCCAAAAGGACCGGCCAGGAUUUUAGAAAGUACUUCGACGGGCAGCAUCGACGUACGGGAUCUGUGCCAACAUACCUAUGCUGGACUGAGAAUGCCAAAAGAUCUUGGUGUGAUGUACGUACAUGGAUUAUUAUAUCAACUGAGUACGUAUUUAUUUAUUUGGUUCCAUUACCUAGAGAUUGAUCUCAAUCUCCUUUCCUUGCAAUCCAUCUCCGUCUUCCUAUUUUCACAGAUAAUCUGCAUCUUUCAUAAUCCUGAUCGUUCUUAACCUGAUUGCUAGCGCCUAGUAUGCAUCUCCUGCUCCUGUUAUUAAUGAUCCAAUAUUGGGUCUCCAUAGUACCCAUAAUUGGUUGAUAAUUGAUCAAUUGGACAUUGUUUGACCUAUAAUAUAUUAUAUGGGAUUCGUCUUUUUUUUGGUGUGUGUUCGACCGACGUGAUGAGCGAUAAGAUUUUAUUGAGUUUGUCCAGUAGAUUUGUAACUUUGUACUAGUUUUUGAAAUACUAAAUUUUCCUCAAAUUUCAUCACUUUUGUCUCAUCCAAAAAAUUAUGCAUCUAGAAAUAUUAGAAAAAAAUGAAGGUAAAGUAUAAUAUGCUUUUAGAUGCAUUUUAGUGUUUUUUUUGUAACAUUUCAUUUAAACAUAGCGCACACAUUAAUUAUUAUUUUUGUAUAUAUAUUAAAGGGCCAGGGUUAUAGUUUCUCCCUGGGCCCCCAGAAUCUCAGGACCGGCCCUGCCCGAGAUAUGGGAGGACACACUUGAGCAGGUCGACAUCUUCGUCAUGGGCAUCGGCAGCAGCGGUACCAUCACCGAAGUCGAUAAGUUCCUCAAGGAGAAGAACCCCAACACAAAGAUCUAUGGAGUUGAACCUGCCGACGCAAAUGUUCUGAAUGGUGGCAAGCCAGGUGGGCUAUCAAUGUCCUCUUCUUCUUUUUCAUACUAGAUGUCUUCCCUAGUUUUUGUUCCUUCUCAUGCUGCUAACUCCCUCUCUGAGAUCUACUCGGAGCGUGCCUGGCUGCGGCGGGGCUGACCCCUCCUCUACCUCAACAAGCUGGACCGCGGGCUCUCCACCAGAUUGGAUCCGGCGGACCGCGGGCUCUCCCCUAGAUCGGAUCCGGCGGUUUGCGGGCUCUCCCCCACCCUCAGUCCACGGCGGUGCCUGCUCCGAAUUGCGGUGACGUUGUGUGUGUCACGGUGGUUCUCUGUUGACACCUCACCUCUCCGGCCUGCCGCCCACCUCACUCGGUCGGUGGAGUUGGCUCCGGCGUCGUGGUUAUUGUGGCAAUGUUGCUCGUUCCCCUGCGGCGGCUAAUUUUGGCGGUGCACCUUUAAUGGCACGGCUCCGGCCACGGCGGUCUCUGGGCAUGUGGGGCUGUGGCGAUGUGGUGGCCUUCUGCGUGUGCGGUGCGGGCCGUUGACAUUGCGAUCCUUGGUUGGUGGUGGUGAUUUUGAUCAGAUUCAUCGGGCAGUGGUGACUACUGACUGUUCAGUAGUGACUUCCUACGGAUCCAUGACUGCGAGGUUAUCGAAAAGACUUCGAGAGGUUUUAUCUCUUGAUACGGUGGAUGACUUUCUGUGGUGUGAUACAAAUUAUGGACAACGAGUUGACGCACAGGGAUGUUUGGUGGAGUGGUGGCGGUCAAAUUGUAGUUGUUGGUAUUUCGAAAAAGUGGUGGCGACAACACAUGUGUGGCUUUGAUGGUGGUGCUGUGAGCACCUGGUCUCGAGCUCCGGGGCAAAAGCCUAGGUCAGACCCGAGUGGUCAUACCUGGGAAUGGCGAUGUUUUCUAUGUCGUUACCUUGUUGGAGGCAUUGCUCGGAUAUGUUCAGACUAUUAUUCAGGGUGAAAACUUUGAUUCUGGCCUUUGUGGUUGGAUCCGAUGACGGCGGCGCUUGAGUGUCGCUUCCUUCCUGAAGGCAUUGCUGUUGAAGAUCAUCGGCCUCCAUGUGAUGUCAAUAGUUGGUGCGGACAUGGUCUCAGUUGUAGUUUGUCGAUUGCUGAUCUAAUCUUUUUGGAGGUUUUUACCUUUUCUUUUUAUUUUUUCCAUGCCUAUGCAUAGCUUUUUGUCUUGUGACCUUGCUAGUUCUUGGCGUGUUUAUCCGCGCGCGUGUGUGUGUGUGUGUGUGUGUUGGGUUGGUUGUGUGCAUCCUAGUUAUGCAGAGGCCGGAUGUGUGCUCAUAUUGUAUCUUCUCGAUGCUCCAUUUGAGCCAAUAAAAUUCACCCUUUAUCGAAAAAAUGCUGCUAACUGAACCUAACUUCAGGGCCUCACCUUAUCACUAGAAACGGUGUGGGAUUUAAGCCAGAUAUUUUGGACAUGGAUAUCUCUACUCUUACAGAAAAAUCAAGUUGGUGAUGAUGAUGUGCCUGCCAUCUUACAAUAUAGACCGUUCGAUCUAUAUCUGAUGGAUAGAAUGCAAACUAUGGCAAUUUUGCAAAAAUAUACCCGCACCUCUCUCCACAUUUGCAGAUAAGGCACGGGACUAUGGUGCACCUCUAUCCACAUUUGCAGGCGCGGGACGAGGCCGCAGCAAGUGGAGCGGCAGAGCGAGGCAAGGCUCGGGCGCGCGGCGCGGGGGCACGCCUGGCGGGGCGGGGCGCGGCUAUGCAGGGACAGGACGGGGCGCGGCCCCGAACGGCGAGCAAGGGAGGGGACGAGCACAGGGCGAGGGAGAGAGAGAAGGGGUGCCUCACUGGGAUUCGUAGGGAUUUCGGGCAGCGGGCUCGACGGAGUUCGGGGAGGGCCGUUGUGGAGGAGGACGAGGACGACGGCAUCGGGGAGGCAGGCCGGUGGGGGAGCGCCAGCGAGGUCCAGGCGGGGAGGAGGAUGGGAAGGCACGGCGCUUGGCGAUCCGACGAGGACCAGGCGGCGGUGACGUGGUCCAACGACGAGAUCUGGGGGGCGCGACGUCGGGCUUGCAGGGAGGGCGUCGUUGCCCCCCGAUCCAGAUCGGGGGAGAGGGAGGAGCGGGGUCGUGGGGGGAGUGGGGGGUGGUUAGGUUAGGGUUUGGGUGAGGGAGUGGAUAAGGAGGGGGUAGUGGGCCGGCCGGCUGGGCCUGGUGGGCGAAUGGGCCGGCCCGUUGGGUCUGCUGGCCCGGGGGGGUCUUUCCCUCUCCUUUUCUUCUUGUUUUAGUUUUAGUCUUUCUGUCUUGUUUUUAUUUAUUUUAUUUUCUGUUUAAUUUCAUUUUAAACCAUUUAGACAUUUUAUAAAAAUGUGUUUGCUGCACCAUAAUUACCCUUAUAAUAUUUGGCAACCAUCGAACAUUUUUGUUUCUAUUUUCGAAAACUUUUAUUGUCGACAUUAAUUUUAAAUUUGAAUUUGACGCGGUUUGAACUAACGGACGUUUAGCAACAGUAAUCGGGAUGACGUGGCAUGAUUAGCGUGGGAUUACUGUAGCAAGAUUAUCCGGGCGUUACAUCUGGCGACCCACACAGCGCACACGGCCCCGAAGCCGGGCCAUUCCUUUUUGCAAUGUUAACAGAUGUGGGAAGUCGAUCGCAUAACAGCUGCCAGAGGAAUACCUUAAUUUUCAGAGGGACGCGGGCUUGCCAAAGCCCUUUUGCCACUGUCUGUACCGACCCUUGGCACAGUUUGUGGUACAAAGACUUGAUAGAGAACUUCCCGGACGCGUUGAGGUGCCAAGAAACCCUAUCUCGUUCCUCAGUUAGUGUCACGGGGGCUAUGAGUUGCAGCAAAGCCUCCCACUUUGUUGUUUCCUGCUCGUUCAGGUUACGGCGGAAGGCAAUGGCCAGGGGAUGAGCCAAUGCCUCUGCCACUUGCUGGUCCGACGCCACAGCUAGAGCAUACAACUCUGGGAACACUUCCCAGAGAGGGCCUGUGCCCACCCAGUAAUCUAGCCAGAAUCGGGUGGAGCGACCAUUACCGACUUGGAACUUAGCACCUUUACCGACCAUUACCGGCCGCCUCAUCUGCCAUUCUCGAGUCUGUUCCUCAUGUGGACCUCGUGUAAACCAACAGUUGAAAUGAUUGAAAGAAAAAGGACUUAACCUUUCUGGACUGGAAAAUGUUUAUGAUCUACUUACAUGUGUUUGAGCCCGCUUUGCUGGAGCGGCUUUAAUCGUACAUUCUUCCAUUUCUUACUAGUGUAUGGUUGAUGAUGAGGCUUCCAUCUGCUGCUGGCGUUUGCUUCAUCAGGGGGCUUCCAUUUGCUUCUACCACUUAGUUCUCAUUGGGAGAGCGUCUCUGGUUCUUUAUCCAAGACACAGAAAAUAAUGAGACAAGGACCACAAAAGACUCUUGGGUAAUAUAUGGAAAAAAGUUUGAAAUAAACCUUGAACUUGUAGUCGAAAACUAAAUCAGCACACCGAACUUCAAAUCCCGGUCUAUUUUCAACCAUGAGUGAGUUCCCAAACAGGGAUUGUCGACGUGGCAUGUUAAAUCCUAGGAUUGUUGGUUGUGCACUCGACUGGGCCGGCCCAUCAGACAUGAAGGGAGUUUUUUUUUUCUUAACACGCAUGACGUAAAGAGUCUUCUCUUCAUUAAUCAUUAAAGCGCGAAGUAACAAAAACGACUCGGGCUGAAUCGAACUUGGGACCUGGCUGAGCCGAGCUCAUCCCGCUAGCCAAAAAUACAGACAACUAGGAGUGAUAUAAUAUGAGGCCAGAUGUAUUUAACCACACACCGAAGCGUGGAACUUUGAAAACAUCUUUUAGGGGCAAACAAAUAUUCAAAACAUAAUCAAUUUUGGAAAUGUCCGAACAAUUUAUAAAAUGGGAGCACCUUUUGAAAAUCCUGAAUACUUUACUAUAUUUUGAGAAAGCAAUCAAUUUCGAAAAAGCAAACACUUUCUGAAACAUAAAUAUUUUUGAAACCUGAAAAAAAAUUUGAAAGUGCGAACACUUUCUGAAAAUUGUAAAAUUGGGAACAAAUUUUGAAACCUGAACAAAUGUGUAAAGAAAAUGUUUGAGUCAUCAAAAAAAUAUCACGAGUUUAGAAUGUAUGUGGCAUUUAAGAAAAAUUGUACAAUGUAAAAUAAUAUUCGUGUGAUUCAAAAAAUGUGCUUGUGACAUUAAAAAAAAGUAUAUAGAAUGUACAAAAAGUGUCAUACCCUUAAAAGACUAUAUGUGACAUGUGUUUAAAAAAGUGUAUACAAUUUUUAAAAUGUGUAACAAUGUAAAAAAUAUGUUUGUGUAGUUUAUGAAAUGUUUAUUGUCGUUAAAAAAAUUUAUAAUGUGUAUCUGGAAAAAUAUUACCAUGUAUUCAAAAAAAUAUUGAAAAAAUGUAUUUAAAAAAUUGUACGUAAUGUAUUUGAAAAAUGUCGAAAGUGUCCCAAAAAAUAUUUUAUGUCUGCUAAAAAUGUACAUCGGGUACUGAAAAUAAUUAGACGUGUGUAAAAAAGAAAACUAGUUUAAAGAAACAAACUAAAAGCAAAAAAAACAAACAAUAUGGAGAAAAUGAAUAAAAAGGAAAAAACAAAAGUAUAACGAAGAAAGAAAAACCAGAGAAGAAACAAAGUAUAGUAAAGAAAAAACAAAGAAACCUAUGAAAAACCAAAGGAAAAACAAACAAAAACAAAAAUAAAAAAUAAAAAUGGAGCAGCACGAGCAACUAUGCUAACGGGCCGGCCCAAUUCAGUGAAUACCAGCUAAAUCCUCUCAAGGUUCAAAAUUGACCAGGAUCAGAGAGUUCGGUGUGCUGAUUUCAGGGUUUGAGAGUUCAGGAUUCGAUUUAGCUUUCAUCUACAAGUUCAAGAUUUAGUUUGGACUUUUUCCAACAUAUGGUUGCAUCCGUCAUCUUGAUGUAGAGGUUUGAGGUUAUUCUUCUUUUUAAAAAGAAAAGGUUAGUAUUCAAUCACAACCCUUCUGCUUCGAUACAACCCCUUAAAUACAUCAACGGAUGAGAUCUCUCCAUAUUCGUUCAUAAUAAAGGGUAGGGCGAUCUUUUAAAACAUACGUCGCCGAGCAUGCGAAUAUGCAGCUUGUGUACAUACACAACCCGACAUACUUUUUUCACCUUCUUUUUAAUUAAAAAAAGUGCACCACUAGAGAUUCGAACUCCAACCCUCAAGGUUUACUUCAAGUUCUAGUAACCAACCGGGACAGGUUACUUGCAAAUGUAGCUUCGUGAACUUUCAGCCUGGGUUUUUCGAGUUUUUUUAACCCAUGUUUGUUCUAUUUUUGGGGGGGUUUAUUUUUCUUUUUCUUUUUAUUUUUAUUUUUAUUUUUCCUUUUUUAUAUUUUUCAAAUGCAUUAACUUUUUAAAACAAAAUCAAAUUCAUGAACUUUUUCUCAAAUUUGUGAGUCUUUUUCAAUUUUUAACAUAUUUUUUGCAAACAAAAUAGUGAACAUUUUUUUUUGCAAAUGUGCGAUUUUUUUCAAAUCUGCGAACAUAUUUUUAAAAAUCGAUGAACUUUUUUCACAUCCGCGAAUGCUUGGGCCGGCCCAACAGCCGCCCGAUGGGAGUGAUGUCGUCACCUAGUAGGGCCAAAGACUAAACAUUUUCUUCUUCUUCUUUUAUUAAUUCAUUUAUUCAUUUUUUUAACUUUAUUAAUCUUUUUGAAACUUUUUCAAAAUUUUGAAUUAUUGUUUGAAAAACUAAAAAAUCUUCUUAUUUUCAGAUAUUGUUUACUAUUUUAAAAAAACUGGAAUUUCAAAAAAUGUUCCAUUACUCCUAACCACCAGCUGGAUAAGACUUUGUCAGCCGCCUUUUCUUGACGCGAGAUCGAGGAGUACGAAUCGGAGAGCUCCUCUACCGCGGCGAGGCGUGCACUAUUUCCGAUGCCGAAUAAAGAGGCUGAGAUCCAGUUCGUGGUAUACGACACUAGCGCCUUCGGUGAGAAUAUCAGGCCGGACUAUUUUGUCGACGACGCCCAUUGUUUUGAAUUUCGACAGCAAAAAAAAUUCGCUGACCAUCGAAACCAACGCAAUUUCCAAAAUUCGUAAAUUUUGAAAUUUGUUUCGCACAAAUCAACGAAAUUUUUAUUUAAAUUUGAAUAAAUUUGAAUUUAAACUAUUGAGUAUAUAACUGUUGUCGCAGUAGUAAGACAUGAAAGCUGUAGAAUUAAGGAUCCCGCCGCUCUAUAUACAGAAAACGUAAAAAUAACGAAAUAUUUCAAACGAAAUACAAAUAAUUCGGUCAACCUCGAAAUGGUCGAAAUUUGACGAAAUUUCAGAAAUUUAAUCGAAAUUCAAAACAAUGACGACGCCUUCCUCAAGAAGUUGGUCGCCAUGGUGCUGAAGCAGAGCUAACGGGAGUAGGAGUUUCAAGUUAUUUAUACCAAACUUUUACACUUUUAUGUAGUUUAUCAAAUUAUAAUAUAAAAUAUUAUUUUUACAUAUCGCUUAGUUUAAAUAGUAUACUUAAUCAAGUGAAAUUGUGUUGUGUCAUUCUCUUGUAUAUGGUUUAAACAUCCAUUGUUUUCAAAAAAAUAAUNNNNNNNNNNNNNNNNNNNNNNNNNNNNNNNNNNNNNNNNNNNNNNNNNNNNNNNNNNNNNNNNNNNNNNNNNNNNNNNNNNNNNNNNNNNNNNNNNNNNNNNNNNNNNNNNNNNNNNNNNNNNNNNNNNNNNNNNNNNNNNNNNNNNNNNNNNNNNNNNNNNNNNNNNNNNNNNNNNNNNNNNNNNNNNNNNNNNNNNNNNNNNNNNNNNNNNNNNNNNNNNNNNNNNNNNNNNNNNNNNNNNNNNNNNNNNNNNNNNNNNNNNNNNNNNNNNNNNNNNNNNNNNNNNNNNNNNNNNNNNNNNNNNNNNNNNNNNNNNNNNNNNNNNNNNNNNNNNNNNNNNNNNNNNNNNNNNNNNNNNNNNNNNNNNNNNNNNNNNNNNNNNNNNNNNNNNNNNNNNNNNNNNNNNNNNNNNNNNNNUUCAUACUAUUUACUGCAUGCUUUGGUAGAUCCAGCAACCAACCAGUUGGCAGCAUGUUAUACCGUGGGAUUCAUAUAUAAACCCCGCACCCAACGUCGUGGGGUCCGGCAACCAAGCGGUUGGCAACAAUGUCAUACAUAAUAUUUCGUAUUCGUGGGAUUCAUAUAUAAACCCCGUAGAUCUGGUUAUCGUGGAUAAGAUGGCUUAUCUUGUCACAUUGACGAAAUACUGUGCUUUCACGACCAAUAUUGGCUGGGCGACCACCGAUGCCUGAUACAUGUUGUUGGGGUGGUUGUACCCGAACCUCACGUGGGAGUAGACUAUAGGUUGGUGACGUGGCUAUCCCACCCAUCGAUGUGGUCUGUUCUUGGGGUGGAAGACGGUGUUUUAGGUGAUAACCGUGGCGAUAUCGUGUGUCCAUGUCAAAGCCCCACGUCCCGGGGCCUCGACUACACUUUAUUACCCACAUUGUAUUACAAGGUGUGUUGGCAUGAAUAUUUCAUUCAUCUUGUAUAAAGAAGCAUGUUGGAUUUUUAUUUAUGAAAAAAGGGGGCUCGAAUGAAUAAUCCAACUAACUCCCAAGUAGUGUAGGUUGAGAGAGAUUUUCAUCGCAAAAAAAAGGUUGAGAGAGAUUUGGUUCAAAUCAAAUUCAAACUCAAACUCGAACUCAACCUAAAGGAAGGAGAAGCAAAGUAAAGCGAGUAAGCAAAGUGGGCUCCUUUUUCCUCCUUGGUUUGGAGGUAACCGACGGCGACAAGGACGGAAUAGGAGGACAAGGGCGUGUCCCCUCCUUUCCCUUCCUUGUCCUCUGUCCACAUCGCCUCUUCUCGCCGGCCGGCAGCCUCCUCCUCUCCGCCCGCCCGAGCGCCGUUCCCCCUUUGGCAAGAAGGAAGAGAAGAGAAGAGUGAGUCUCGCCCUUGUCCUCCUAUUCCGUCCGAUUCCCCCUUUGCUUUGCUGUGCUGUGCUUGCCAGAAAGAACAAGGGCGAAUCGGAUCCGGAAGAAAGAAAGCCCGCCCGUCCGUCCGCAGAUAGAUCUCAUCAUCAUCAUAAAUAUAAAGAUACGACCUUCUUGGCCUGCCCCCUCCCUGUUACCUACCUCGUCGAUCUAUCGGCGUGGCUCUUCUUGUUGAGUGUUGCAGGACGGACGAGCCAGCGAUUGGAUUGGAUUGGAUUGGAUUGGAUUUUGGGUACCUUUUUUUUUCCUUAUCGAUCCACGAUUCUUUGUUCCCUUUCUGGUUAACGAGUUAGUAUGUAGUACUAUGUACGUAUUAUUAGCGAGCGCCUUGUUAGGUUGGAUCGAUCCAAUCUGCUGCACACAACCAAGAGCACAUACAGAUUUUGCCUCUUCUUCUUCUGCUCUGCUCUGUUCUAGCCGAUUUCCUCCUUCUUGUUAGGUAGAUGCACAGAGCAGAUUAUUAGUAUGUAUGUGCUCCCACACCACAAGAUUCCUUCCUUCCUUCCUUGUUCUACACCAUACCAUGUUUUUCUUUUUUCCCAGUCCAGUUGAUUGUAUUUGUAUGCCUCCCUCAUCUUGACAUAAUAAUAUGCUUGCUUGGUUUAUUAUUAUUAUUAUUAUUAUUAUUAUUGCUCCUGCUUAUUAUUCUUGCCCGUAAAGACGGAUGUUAGUGUACUACUACUAGUCAAAACUUGAGAUAAUACUAUAUGGUUGGAUGCACUCACUUGUCCUUAACAAGUCAGACUAGAGGAUAAUGUUCUUGCCCCUCCCUACUUGUUUCAUGACACUUACUCACGGUGCUUGCAGAAUUAGAUAGAUAUUCACAAUACUUGUACCAUGUGUAUGUAUGUAUGUAUGUAUGUAUGUACUCCGUCUCAUAAUGUAAGACUUUUUUUGACUCUAGUGUAGUGUCAAAAAACGUCUUACAUUAUGGGACGGAGGGAGUAGUAUUUAGCAGCAGAUGCAAAGAAAGAAAGAAAACAACAUAAUGCUAGCUAGGCUAGGCUAGGUGUACUUACUCAAACUCACAUCUAGGAAUGAUGGUUCUGAGCUUGCAUAUCCUUUACCAACUCAACUGCUUGCUAUUUCCACGUCUUUCUUUACUCAUAUACAUACAUACAGUCAAUAACCGGAAAACAGUUAGCUAAUCCUCCUCUGUCGCUAAACAAACAGUUAGCUAAUCCUCCUCUGUCGCUAAACAAACAGUUAGCCAUAGAGGAUCAUAAUGGUAUAUCUUUGUGUACUAUCGCUAAACAAACAGUUCUUCAAGGUGCAAGUUUCUGCAGAUAUUUCACAUUUAUCAUGGGCAGACUUCAUAAUUAUAUGAAUAUAUAGCAGUAUGGGUGGCAGAUAUUAUACCACAUGCUCUGUACAAUUUCGCUGUCAUCUUUAGAAAUUUUCACUUGUUUACACUACAUAUGGUAGAACAAUUGAGAUGCUAUAUUGAUCUGUUGUGCGAUGUGUUCUGUUGAAAAUUUCUAGGAAUUAUUUGAAUGGCAUGACUAGUGCUUAAGUAAUUGAAAUUACUACCCUGCCUGGAAGUAUCCAAGACCAAGAUAAACUCUGUUCCCCCUUGUCUUAUCAUGUACCUGUUGGUUUUGCACGGUUGCACCUUAUGUUAUGUUAUCCUUUAAUUUAAUAUAAUAAUGCCGUGUUGACAUUUUACUUCAGUUAAUUUUCUACGGCCACCGUGCAUAUGUCAAUAUCCAUUUAUCAAUUCGCAUUGGAUUUAUUAUAACUCUGCUUCCUUCUAUGCAGCCAUGUAUGAUAACUACAGAAAUCCCCAUCCUCCCGGGAUGCAGAUGCCCCCACCAAACCCUCAGCCUGGCCCAUAUGACAAUCCAUUAUAUGGCGCAAGCUCAGGCCUGAUUAAAACUGGGUUAGGAGUAUAUGGGGAGAAGUUCCUCGGCUCCAGUUCAGAAUUCAUGCAGAGCAAUGUAAGGAGCCUCCAAAGAACAUUGAUCUCCCUGGUGUUUCAAAUCGCUUAUGUAUUCUCUCUAAAUUAUUUAUUGGCUCUACUCUUGCAGAUCAGUAGAUACUUCUCCAACCCACAGUACUACUUCCAUGUGAAUGAUCAGUAUGUCAGGAACAAGUUGAAAGUCAUACUGUUCCCGUUCCUUCACAGGGUAUAUUUGUCUUUCCCAUCUACACUGGAUAUGUAUCUUGUUCUUCUGUCUAUAUAUCGGGUGUACUGAAAUAUGUUCCGUCUUUCCUAGCUGCGCUGGAUAUGUUUCUGGUUCUUUUAUCUAUCUGGUGUACUGAAAUAGAUUUUUUGCAAUGAUUUUUCAGGGGCACUGGACCCGGAUAAGUGAGCCUGUUGGUGGCCGGUUGUCAUACAAACCUCCAAUGUACGACAUAAAUGCGCCAGAUCUGUACAUCCCUUUCAUGGCGUUUGGUACCUUCAUUAUUCUUGCAGGCUUCACACUGGGCUUCAUGGGAAAGUGCGUUUUUUUUUUAACUUUCUUCAGCCAAAAAACAGUGACACUUCAAAAUCACAGUUCCUAAUGCACUUGAACCCGUAUGCAGGUUCACUCCAGAAGCCAUAAACCUUCAGUUCACAAGAGGGCUGAUCGGAUGGGGCCUACAGAUCGUGUUCCUGAAAGGGCUCCUCUACUCGAUGGGCGGUGGCGAGGUGCCGCUGCUCGACCUGGUAGCCUACAGCGGGUACCUGUUCGCAGGGCUCUCCCUGGCCAUCGUCGCUCGGCUCCUAUGGGCCUACUCAUACUACGUGAUGAUGCCGUGGAUGAGCCUGUGCAUGGGGAUUUUUUUGGUGAGGACGAUGAAGCGGGUGAUCUUCACGGAGAUGCGGGGCAGCGAGAGGCACUCGACGCGGCAGCACUACUUCCUGCUCUUCAUGGCCAUCGUGCAGUUCCCCCUCUUCUUCUGGCUCGGCAGCAUAGGCGCAUGAGAUAGUCUUCUCUGUAAAUUUGGCACUAGAAAAAGCAACCACCUGUGAAGCUUAGGCACAUCCAGUAGCUUGUGCAGGCUCUCUGAGCAUCAUCAUAUAUGUUUUGUUGACAGGGGUUUUUGUGUUUGGUUUUGUAUAAAGUUGUGAAUUUUGCAGUCGGUCACCAUUUUGUAGUAUGUUUGUUGGAAUGGUCUCAAGUAUAUUCAUAUACAUUGUUUAUGUUAUAUAUGUUUCUUUGUAUGCUGUUGGAUCUACCCUAGUUCACUCAUCCUACUUAACUGGCAUUGUUUGAAUGUUCACUCAGUGAAAGUAUAUGCCAGCUUCAGUCUGUCAUUUGGUAGGUGCAGAGUAUAUAUAUAUACUGUCAGAAAAUUCACCACAUAAGUAUGCAUAUUAUUUCUGUUAUUCCAUUGUAUCUGGAUUUUUUGAUUUCCUCAGAGUUUUGGUCCAACAGCUUUUCUCAAAACAAGACAAACAAAAUUGUAUUUUGUUUAUAAACUGAUUUUCUUUGGAUUUUUGGUGAGGUAUCCAGAUUUACGCGUGAUAACUAUCCGUGCAGAAAAAAAAUGAGAUGCGUGCAAUGUAUGAAAUGAAUUAGCAACAAGUGAACAAGUACUUAACAACGUUUAAUGGAUAAAUUCUGAACGACCAAAAACAGAGCUUUGGAGGGAACACAAAAGCAAAAUAGGUUCCCAGAAUUCAUUCUCAAGCACGACAACAAACGCUGUUGUCAUGGAUUUCACAGCAUGCAGUUGCACAUUCCAACAACCAUUCGUCAAAAAUGAGUAGUAGAAACUUGAAAGGGCGCGCCGUUCGUAUUAAACAGUGCAAAGGUCCGAUGCAAAAAAAAAAAAAAAACAGUGCAAAGGUACGACGACUAUGGGUACAAGAGCAAGAAGAAACUUUGGCAUCUCAGAAGCCUGGCAACAAGCAAAUACCCUGUCAAACUUAAUAUAUUAUUACAACUAGAGAUCCCUUUCGUCAUUGUCACGAAUCAUAUUGGCAUGGCCAUCUUCUUGGUUAUAAUGACUUCCAGGGCGAUCUGUGAAGACUCAUCAGAGAUUGUAUCGAGGAAGAAGACCACAAACAGACCCACCAGUCCAGGGGAUCAGAUCAUCAACUGACAACAGAACAGAGCCUCAGUCAGCAACAAAAACAUAACAAUUCACAGAUGGCAACGGACAUCAGGAAUUAUCAUCUCUAAUCUAAAUUUUGUCAUCAAGACGAUAUCAGUGUGAGCUAAUAUAAUAGAAUUAUAUGGUCAAAAAAAUAUAAUGUAACAAUAAGAAAGAAGGUAAUAUACCUAUCAUAUUGCUUCUUACUAGAUAACUCAUUAAAGAAAAUAGUCUGACCAGUUAGGACACUGUUAAAGGUUAAGGACCUGGGUGAACUGUAUGUUUAACACGUACUACUAGGAAGACUUGAAAACAAAACAAACUAAAUGAUGAGAAACAAAAUGUUAAUGCAAGAAGGUAUAUUACUGACUCAACAUGUUUGCUGCCACGUUUAUAUUUACAGUGGAAUACUUCGUAGUAUCAUUUUCUUAACUUGUAUGCGGUCAGUAAAUUGGUUCUUCUCAUUAACAUUGGUACCAUAUGAGAACAGUGUUAAUGACAAGAACCAAUUUACUGACAGCAUACAAGUUAAGUAAAUGAUACUACGGAGUAUUCCACUGUAAAUAUAAACGUGGCAGCAAACAUGUUGAAUCAGAUAGAGAUGAGAACUGGGUGUCCUAAUGUUGCAAAAAAGAGAAACUUGGCACACUGCCGGUGUAAACUAACUUGAUAUCUAAGGUGCUGAAAUAGCAUCCACCACUUUUAGGCAGACUAACCACUCACAUCAUAAAAAAUGGGUAAGAAUCCCACUUUAUGUACCAUAUAAACUGUAAACUGAUAGUAACCAUUUCAGUAUCCAUACUUACUUCAAAAGGUAGCAACCAAAAAGAAAAUCUCAUUAUCCGUACUAAGUUCAUUCCAAGUUCAGCAAAAUCAGUGAUUGCUGUGAAUAUUUAACAGUCACUGUUUCGUAGUUCG